ACAUAGUAUCACCCAUGCGACCUAGCUACAUCAUAAUGUCUUGUACUCUCUUGUACACAUGAUGUGCACUCAGCACCAUACAUGUGACCUAGCUACAUACCAUCUGUAUCAUCCAAUCUUUCAGAAGGUUCAACCGGGAUUUCUCUCUCUUUUCCAACAAUUUCACCAAUCAAGUAAUUAUCAACAAACAUAUUUCCAACAUUAUUAUAAAAUAUCAUAAUACAAGUAAAAUUGAUGUAUUACUUACAUAUAAACUUACAUCUCAUUUAAUAUCAAGGUAAUAACAUUAAAUUACACAUUGCCUUAUUAAAAAUCAUAUGAACUUACAAUUUCUCAUAAUAUCCAUAAUCAUAGAAAUCACAUUUAUGUAUGAUAAUUCAAUGCACUUCAUGUACCAUAGACAUAUUUUUAAAUCAAUUCAUAAACUGGGCACCAUAAACAUUUAAUUUAACAUAAUUCAAUUAAUUCACUAAAUUUAACUUUCAAAUAUAAAUUACAGCAUUAUUGUUGUAUUAUUAUCACACCAACUUACAUACUUUCAACACCUCGACAAUCAUAGUAAAUAUAUCAAUUUUACAUUGAAACAUGCAUAAAUUAAUGCUUAUUAUACAUAUGAACUUACCUCGAUACUAAAACGGUCAUUUUACCAACUUUCCCAAUUUUUGAUUUUUCUCUCAUUCUAGGUUCAAAUCUCGUUUUCCAAGAUCUAAAACAUCAUAUUUUACUUAUUUAAUUAAUGUACUAUUCAAAACAGUCCUUAACUCAAGCUUUAGAAAAAUUACAAUUUUGCCCCUAAACUUUUGCAUAUUUAUGCUUUUGCCCCUAGGCUCGGGAAUUAAACUUCAUCCCUUAUUCUUAUGUUUUAUGACAUGCUGAUCACUUUUCCCUCCUAUGGCAACAUCAAAUUCUCACUCUAACAUAUACUUAUGACUAUUAGGUAUUUUUACCGAUUAAGCCCUUUUACUCCUUUUCACUCAAAACCGAGUAGCACAAGUUGUCUAACAUAACUUAAAACCUCAUAUUCUAUCAUAAAAAAUCAAAAUAAACACAUUUCACAUAUGGGUAUUUUUCCAAAUAUGAACCCUAGCUUAAAUUAUUGCUAGAAUAAGCUUAAUCAAAUUACCGGGAUUCCAAAAACGUAAAGAACUUGAAAAACGGGGUUCGAACGGACUUACUAUUGAGCUUGGAAAGCUUGAAAACCCUAGCCAUGGCUUCCCCCAUGCUAAUUUCAGCCUCCAUGAAAAAGAUGAGUCAAUUUUGGCUUUAUUUUCCCUUUUUAUUUCUUUUAAUUACCAAAUGACCAAAAUGCCUUUCCUUACUAAACUUUCAAAAAUUCCAUCCAUGUCCAAUUUUUUCCCAUAACUUAGAAAUUGGUCAAAUUUCUAUUUAACACCUCCUAAUUAAUAUUUCAAAGCAAUUUCAUACUAGAAACUUCUAGAAUGCAAGUUUUACAACUUAUUCAAUUUAGUCACUAACUUCAAAUUGAGCACUUUAUGCAUAGAAUUUCUUCACGAAAUUUUCACAAAAUCAUGCAAUCAUAUCAUAGACCUCAAAUUAUUUCUACCUCGGAUUUUGUGGUCCCAAAACCUCUGUUCCAACUAGACCCAAUUUUGGGCUAUUACACCAUUAUCAUCCAAUAACUCAUUAAUGGGUUAAUUACCAUUUAGGGACUUCUACUUUAAUAUUCCAUAGCUAUUAGACACCUUUAGCUAGUAAAACUCAAGUUUUACACUUUACGUGAUUUAGUUCUUUUUAUCAAAUUGAGCACUCAAACGAUAAAAAUUCUUAUUAUGCUGUAGACAUUAAAAUAAUAAUAAAAUAGUUAUUUUGACCUCGGAUUUGUGGUCCCAAAACCACUAUUCUGAUUCGACUAAAAACGGGCUGUUACAAGUUAAACAAAUUCAUUCUUGUGAUAAUUUAGGAAAUCUUUUUACAAAGGCAUCACCAACUUCAACGUUUGAAAGACUACUACAUAAGACCGGAAUGCUUCAACUAAAAGAUGUAAUGUGAUAUUUCCAUUAAGGGGAGUAAAAAAAAAAGUUCUACUCUUUUCCUUUAACUAAUGUUUUGUCCCACUAGGUUUUCCUAGUAAAGUUUUUUAACAAGGUAGCUUGUAAUAAUAGAUUAUGUACUCUUUUUCUUUCACUAGAUUUUUAUCCCAAAGGGUUUUUCCUAAUAAAGGUUUUAAUGAGGCACAUUUUUAUUUAAAAGUCAUCCUGUAACACCCCUAUAACCCGUGUCCGUCACCGGGGUGGGUUAUGAAGAGUUACUGAUUCAAAAUUUAAUAUUUUAAAAACAUACACAAUAAAAAAAUAAAAUAAAAAUAUACAUCGCCAAACUCAGUUAAAGAUCGAAAUUCAAUCUUGUAUCGACAUUCAAAAGUAGCCAUAUUCACAUGGCUUAUAUAUAAGUACAUCUCAAAAUAUCAUUCUCUUAAGUCUAUUCCAUACAUGCCAUACUAGCUUCAAAAUAUAGUAGUACCCCAAAAUGACAGAUAGUGUGACGAGUAGCUGACGAUUCCCUUUUCGAGCAGGUAACUGGAAUCAAUAAUCUAUAAAACAGAGAAUGUAACAAACGAAGUAAGCUUUCAAAGCUUAGUAAGGUUUAAGCAUCACAAAUAAUUAAAACUUAUUGAAAAUCAAAACAUUCAUUUAAACAGACUUAUUCUCAAUUCAAAUUGCUUCAUGGCCGAAUACACAUAAACAUAAACAUAGAUUCUCAGCACAUAUUUUUCUUUUACUAAUAGUUCAUACGAUGCAUUUAAAAUAAAUAAUCUCAUAUAUUAACAACAUUUGAUCGAAUAGGUCAUUGCUUUACUCGUAGAAAUAACAAUCAUUCACACUUAAGUAUCAUUCUUUAAUACUAAUAAUUCACAAAUCAUUGGCUGAAUGUACAUGAGUACAUAAAGAAAUUUUAAUAUAUAAUUCAUAUACAAAUAUAUCAUGACCGAUUAAAUCAUUCUCAUAUUCGCAAAUAUAACCAUCAAUUACACUUAUAUAUAUAUAAAUGUAUAUAUAUAUUCUUCUUUGAUGCUAUGAUUCACUUCGAAAUCAAAUCACCGAUGUGUAAGUAAUACGUACCUGAACACCUUAAAUGUAUAGUACUUACUCAACGAUGAUUUACUGCGAACAUUCAAUAUCGUAGUCUUACUUAAUUACUGGCAUUAAGCCUGUCAGGUCUUAGAACUUGAAACCAAUUACCAGCACAAGCCUGCGGGAAUUUAAACCCGGUAUAAUACCAACUCGAAGCCUACGGGACUUUUGCCCGGACAUAUUUCCAGCGCGUAGCCUGCGGACCUUAAGUCCGGUUAUAAUUCCAGCACAUAGCUUGCGGACCUUAAGUCCGAGUAUAAUUCCAGCAUAUAGCCUGCAGGUCUUUAAGCCCGGAUAUAAUUCUAGCAUAUAGCCUGCGGGUCUUUAAGCCCGGAUACACAUCAAAUAUCAUGCAUAUUUAAUCAUAUAUUAACACAACUUAUUCAACAUAUCACAUUAGUAGUUAUUUGCUACGUUCGGAUAUAAGCUCCAUAUGAUUACCAUCAUUUACAUUUUGAUUCGAAAGCCAUACAUAAAUAUCACAUAUCAAGGCAUCAUCAAUUAUAUACUAAAGGUGACUACUCAAAACUUACCUCGAAUAUUUUCGAACAGUCUCGGAUCGGCUAUUCAACUACUUUCUCUUUUCCCUUGUCCAACCUUGGUUCUCUAUGCUCUUGAGCUUCCUUAUGAUUCAAAUGGCCGAAUGUCUUGCUCCAUUUUUUUCUUUCUUUCUUUAGAUUCGGCUAAGAAGAACAAAGCUGAGACUUUGUUUUCUUCACCAUUCUUUCUAUUAUUAUUUUAUUUUAUUCAUCUAUAUUAUAAAGUAUAAAGCCAUUUAACUAAUAAUUAAUACAUAUAUUUAAUAUAAAAGCAUCAUCAUGGCCGGCCACUAUAAACAAAAAUGUAUAUUUGACAUGCAAGUCCAAACCUUUUGUGACAUGCAUUAAUAGACCCCCUUUUUAAAAUUACCUAUCACCUUCCACAAUUAUUUCACAUAAGUCCUAUUUAAUAAUUUCAGAUACAAAUGACAAAAUUAGAGCAUGAAACUUUCACAUAUGCAUGUACACAUAUAAUAAGCAUAGAAUAUAAUAGUUAAUUAUUUUUAUGACUCAGUUUUGUGGUCCCGAAACCACUUUCUGACUAGGGUCAAAUUAGGGCUGUCACACAUCCAAUGGAGAGUGUUGUAAAUACAUUAAUAAUGGAUGUCUAUGACACCUUUAAGCCCACAUUAAAGUAUUGAGAUAAAACUCUCUGGUUCAUAUAUGACCAUGAGAGUAAAUUAGAUGUUUCAAUUAAGAAGCUAAAAAGGCUUCAUUUACAUGAACUUCAUUGAAUGCAAAGGAGUUUAUAAAUAAAGUCCCUUAAAGUGAAAGUGGAAUGCAAGAAAUUCUCUUGUAGAUUUCACCUACUAUGUACUUGUUAGUAUUGUUCUCUUUAUUAUUUUAUAACAAUAUUUUUUUAAUAUAAUUGUUACUGCUAGUCAUAAACACUUCAAACUCUUAAAUCAAAAGAUAAAAUGUACUUAUGUCACGAGUUGCAAAUCAAAGCCUAUGACUAUUGCAUAUAGAAAGUCCUAUGAAGGUCAACUUAUUAAAUGGAGCACAUUUGACCCAUAUGAACUGACCCGAUUCGUGGAACCAUGAAUAAGCUUAUCUACUAGAAGCUUUGGUGGUCUAAUGAAAUACUCCAGUAAAACUAGAGUUAUCAGGGUAAUUAAUAUAAAUUUUUAAGGGAUAAAGAUAUAUAGUGUGUAAAUUUCUUAGGACUCUCAAUUGUAAAUAGGCUCUAAUCUUAAUUGUUGAUGUAACUCAAUUUGUAAUAUUGGAUCUGCAUGAGUUCAACUAUAAGUAGAUGUCUCCCUCUUCAUUUGUAAUCAUCACAUUGUAUUUUAUUCUUGGAUUAAGGAAUAUAUUUGAGAGUUUUUACUCAAAUACUAGGUGUGAAUUGCUUUUUUGUGGUUUUUCAAUUCUCUCGUAACUUUUUCAUCUUUUUAGUUGCUUUCAUUUUGUUUUUGUCACCUUAGAGAAUUUCAAUGAAAAUUCUCACUUUCCAAGAGUAAUGCUGACUUAGGCAGAUUUGAAGCAAAGAAACGCCUAACGCCGCAUAGUUUGCCAGACUUAAGUUCUAGCCCCAUAUACUUACGUGCACUGUGUAAUAGCCAAUUUUGACCCAGGCCAAUAAAACAAAAAUAAAACCCAAAUUCAGACCCAAUUACAAAAGCCCAAAACCAACUAACCCUAGCCCACUAGCUAUCAAAAAUUUUUAGCAAGCAACCAAACCCUAGCUCCCUCUUUAGCCACCGCUCUUCACUAGCAAGGCCACCACGCGCGCCUCUUCGUCAAUCUCUGACAACCACCUCCAACACACAAGUAAAAGACGACAAAUAGAAGAAACAAAUAACAAAGAGACAAAAAAAAUAGAAAUAAGAAGAUGGUAGUUUCGGCUAUAAAAGCCAUGACAUUUCAAUGUAUUGCUUCUUCUUUUUUCAGAUACAAUAAAAAUCAAUUAAAAAACUAAAAACUUUCAAACGUGGCUACUUUUUUUAUUUUUUGUCCUUAAGUUGCUGCUAUUUUUAUUUUCUUUUAGUUUUUCUUCUUUUUUAUGCAAAAAAAUAUAAAAAGAUAUAAAAGGAAAAGAGUACUCACCUCCGUCGAUCUCCUCGGCGUCGGAAAAGUCCCUAUCGCGCAACGUCGACCACUGGCCCAUGACGGCGGCGCAAUGGACACCGGGGAAGUCCUAUCGUCGGACAAGGGAGAGAAGAGAGAGAGUUGAGAGGAUUUCAAUUUUUUUUUAAAGAGAAAGGAAUGAAAUGAAAAAAAAACCAAAAAUGGGGCUUAAAUAAUGGGUUUGAAACGACAGCAUUUUGGGUGGCCUUCCCAGGCACAAAACGACAUCGUUUUAGGGAAGGCCAACCCGAAUCCGACCCGUACCCAGGGGGAUCCGCGCGUUUCUAUUUUAUGGGUUAUUUUCAAAAAUGGUCCCCCCGCUUUUGUGGCUUUAUUCAAUCAGGCCUAUUUUUUGUUAUUUUUAUUUUUAUAGAUUUUACCCAUUAAUUUUGUAUAGUUUUUAAUCGGGUCCCCGACCCACUGAUGCUUUUAAAAAAGGACACAUGUUUUAGAGAUGGGGUUAAUUGCCUUUUUAGUCCCCGAAUGUUUUCACACACUUAAUUUCAAUCCUUUGUUUUAUUUUAUUAUUUAAAUUGUUUGUUUUAUUAUUGUUUUCUACUUUUAAUUUCAUUUCUAUUUUGAUUUAGUCCUAAUCUAUUGGAUUUUAACCUUUUAAUUUGUUAUUUAUUUAAUAUUUAAUAUAUUAUUCCUUUCAAAUUAUUUUACUCGUUUUAAAUUUCUUUUUUAGAUAUUAUUCAUAUUAAACUGUUUUAUUUUUUAUAUAUAUUCUGUCUUUAAAUUUUAUUUUUUUUUGGUUUUAAACUCUUUUACAUAUUAUCUCUAUUGAAUUUAUAUAUAUUGUCACUACAAGAAAACAGACUUUGAGCAGCUGUUUUUUUAGCCUUUAAAAGCACCGCAAAAACUAUUAACGGCGUUUUCCCAAGCGCUGCAAAAAAACGCCGUUAUAGGAGACGCCGCCAAAUUUUGCAGCGUUUAUCUGAAAAAACCACCGCAAAAGAUCAAGACUUUUAGCGGCGUUUGUUGGGGAAGCGCCGCUAAAAGUCAUGGCUUUUUAGCGACGCUUUUUUCACAAACGCCGCUAAUUUGGCAGAUUUGAAAUGUACAUUUUUACCAAUAUUCAACCCUUCCUGCAUUAAAUCCAACCAAAAACAGCAAAUAUAGCAUAAAAAAUAUAAUCAAAAACAUUAAAUCUAAACGAUACUUCAAAUUCAACGAAAGAUCUAUGAUAUAAUUAAUAAAUUAAGUAAUAUUCUUACAAAAUGUUAAAUGUGACAAUGUUAAAAACAUUCUUACAAGGAGAAAACUAAUGUCUAAGACGGCGGCUUUUGCGACUGCUGAAACAUCUGCAUCAUUUGCUGAAGCUGCAAUUGAAGCUCAUCGUACUUUCUGCUCUGCUCUGCCUCCCUCGUUAUUGCCGCUGCCUCCGCUCUAAGUUGUUGCUGGAGUUCUUCAUAUUUUCUUUGAACCUCGACAAUUUGCUCAACCGUGUUCGAUUGCAUCUGAGCUAUCUGGUCUCUUAACCUUUGAACUUCAGCUUGAGCUUGACUCCCGGAAGGCAUGUAUUGCUGGGAGCCGGAUCCAAAAUAUUGGGUCAGGGUAACACCAGAUCCUUGAAAUCGAACCCGACUGUACCUUUCAGGACCCAAAACUUCAUUGAUAAUUCUGUUAUCAAUGUUCUCAAGAUUAACAGAACUAUCAGUUUAAGCAAUCGCUUCAUACUCCGCCUUCUUCUCCUUUAGUUUCUCUUAAAAAAAUCAAUUAAAGAGUUAGAAACGAAAUAUAUAAUAAAAAGGAAUGGAACAUAAACUUAACAUUAUUUAAAACUAGUAAUGAAAAAUUAAACCAUAAUUAAUUAAACAUUAAAAAUAUUUAUAAUAAAUCAAAUUUUAUUAAGUAAAUAUACCAUAAUUUCUCCAGUUUCGGAUGUCAUAGGAAAUCCAUCUUUCUUUUUAUGUGUAAUCUCAAAAAGCUGAAGGGGUCCAACUUUUUGACCAGACGAGAUUUCCUACAAUAAAGUAGUAAAAAUAUUAUUUAAUGAAAGUUAUUAAUAUUUAAAAGAAUUAAUAAAUUCAUAAUACCUCAGCCUCAGCUACAAAAGCAAAACUUCUCGACCCUGUCGUGUGCGUGAAUUUUUGUUUUUGUCUGCUACUUGUUCCAACUCGCUCAUGAUCCUAUAUAAUAAAAUUAUUAUUAUGUAUAUAGUAAACACUAUAUAUAAGAUUUUGGAAAUACGUAAUACCUCUCCUUUCUUUGAAUUCCAGAAUCUAACUGCAUAUUCUCAUUGGUACCUCAGCAUUUCCGGCGGGACAUUUUUCAAUUUUUCCUUGAGGCUUAUGUCUUUCUUAAAAUAUAGUUUUUUCAAACUGCUUUUAUGGUCUCUCCAUUUUUUUCCCAAUGCCUUCUUGAUAUAGUCAUCGGAGACCUCUAAAGUAAAUCUCUCCUGAAAAAACACAAGUUUAGAAUAUAAAUAUAAAUGAAACUUAAACCAAAGUAUUAUAAAUUACAUUCACGUUUUGUUACCUUAAUAUUAUCCAGAGCUUGAUUUUUGUUGCUAUCAGGCAUGUGAUGCCAUGAUUCGUAGUUGAUGGGCAACAUAUUGGCAUUUCGUGAUAUAAUGCCCAAAUAGCCUGCUAAAAGUCGAGCUUUAGAUCCAACAGGCUGACCAUAACUGUUUCACUCGACUGGAUUUAAGUCGUAUAAAUCUUUAAGCAGCGUACGUCCUCGACCUCUACGCGUCCCACCACUUUCAGCUGAAAAAUGGUAUAUUAUUAUAUUAAAAUUGAAAAAUAAAUCAAUAAUAAAAGUCGACACAUGUAAAAUGAACUUAACAUUACUUUGAAAUUUUGCAAGCUCGUCAAGUGUCUCUGGCACAUUCGAAGAUCCAACAACUGUCUGUUGUUCACUAUUUGCUUCUUCUGUAUUUGGAGUAUUCUGGACAAUACUUAAAUCUUGUAAUCUUCUUCUACGCAUUUUUCCUGCAAUACACAUAAAAUAGUUAAAAUUUUAGUAACAAAUUACAACAAUAAUAGUACAUAUAAAAUAGUUAAAUAAUAUAACAUUACCAAGAUUAAAAUUAUAAUAUUACAUAUAAUUAAAAAAUCGUAAAAUCUUACUGUUGAAACCAUUUUUUUGAAAAAGAGAAAUCGACUUUUGAAAAUGAAAAGUUGGGAGUCGCCACCAAUCGUUUUUAAUAGGGUGUGAUUGGAUCACCUUAAAACACGGUCGUUUUUAAUAAAUAAAUAAAUUUUUCAAAACGACGAUUUUGGUCUGCGAAAAUAGAAAACCGGUUCGGGAGUUAGUUACGUACGAGGAAGGAUUAGCACCCUCGACACGCCCAAAAUUGGUACUUGAUUGAUUAUUUAGUGUCUUAAUGUCGAAAAUUAAAGAUUUGGACAGAGUUCAAAACGCGAUCCUCCUUUUAUUGGCUUUUAAAACAUUUAGGUAAGUCAAAUGUGUAUUAAAGACCAUCUCACCUCAAGGUAAAACAUUACAUCCAGCACGUUAGGACACAACAUUUUUUACUCUCAAUUGUGAGCUUGCCUUUAAAACAUGCAUUUUUGCCUUAAGAGGAUAUUCGAAUAUUCAAAACAAACAAAGAAAGCGAAACCCAGUACGUUAGGGCACGAUUCUUCAAAUUCUUUACAUACCGAACAUUGCCUUUAUUUUGAAAAUUUUUGAGAGUGAACUGGUAAGAGGAUAUUCGAAUAUUCAAGACAAACAAAUAAAGCGAAACCCAGUACGUAGGGCAUGAUUCUUCGAAUUCUUUAAAUACCGAACAUUGCCUUUAUUUUAAAAAAAUUUGAGAGAAGAUCAAUGGAUAAAUGAAUUAAGGACAUAGAUUUUUUUAAAAAUGAUGAUAAUAGACAACAUGAAAAUAAUAAUAUGAGAAUAAUGCUAACCAUAUAUAAAUAAUAAAAUAAUAAUAAUAGUAAUUAAUAGAAAUAAUUAAUAAAACAACAGUAAUAAUCAAUACAAUAAUGUAAUAAACAUUGUGCUAAUAGUAUUAAUAAUAAUAUUAAAAACAUGAUGAUAAUAACAAAAAAUAUGUUGAUGAUAACAUUAAAUAUGGGGGAUAAUAGUAAAAAAAAAUUAGAAUAACAAUGUUAAAUUAGUAAUAGUGAGAAAUAGUAAAUAAUAAUAAUUUGAUAUAAAAAUGGUAACCGAUAAUAAACAAUGGUAUAAAAAAUAAUAUAAUAAGUCUAUGUAUAAUAGAAAUUUAUAUUUAAAAUAAUUAACUUCGCUUAAAAAUAUAUAUUUACAUAAUAAAUAUAUAAUAAUAAAUAAAUAAUAUAAUAAUAUGAAACAUAACUCAAAUUAAUUAAAUUAAUAGAAAAUAAUAAAAAACAAAUAUAAAAAUAAUGAGAAUAAAGCUCAAAUUAAUUAAUUUAACAGUAAAAUAACAAAAAUAAAAAAGGGGUUAAAUUGAAUUAAAAAUGAAAACUUUGGGGCCAAAUCAGAAAGGAAAUAAAAUCAGAGGUAAACUCCCUCUCUUUUCCCUUCUUUCGUUUGUGUAAAGAAAAAAUGUGAACGCCAAAGUAAACAAAAUUGAAUAAUAUAAAAAGUUACCUUAAAAAUCUGAUUUGUAUUCUCUUUGAUUUCGUAUGUGUAUUCUCUAAAAAAUUCCCCCAAAAAUCCUCUAAAAAUCCUCUCCUAAAAUCCUCCCCAUACAAUAGUUUUUCCACGGCUUUUAUAGCCAAUUUUUACAACUUAUAACAAGUAGGGUGAUGGAGGUAGUGGCGGUGAUGGAGGUAGUGGACGGUUUAGUAGGUUGUGGGGGUGAUGGAGGUAGUGGAUGGUUUAGUAGGGUGAUGGAGUUAGUGGUCAGUUUAGUGGGGUGUUUAAUUUGGGCUGGUUUGAUUGGGCCCGGGCAGAAAUUUGGUCCUACACUUACUACAUCAUUAUUCAUAAAUAUCUUCAUCCACAUCAUGUCAAGCACAUUGACGUUGUGUACUAGUACUAAUGAUAUUUUCAUCUAAGUUUUGUUCUGGAAAAGGUAAUGUUUCUUACCUUUCGACGAUGUCAUCUCUACUUCCAUUACCCAUGUCAAAUAAGUCUCUAGGGGUGUUCCGGAGUACAACAUACCAACCCCCAUCAAUUGGAUCUUUCGAAUAAAAACCUUGUUUCACUUGAAAAGAAAAUACAUAUAGCUCGUCCAUCAAUUGUUGUCCAGUGUGAAUCAAGCGAGAGAAAUUAACCAUUGUAAAACCAAAUUGAUCUUUUUUAAUUCUGCGAGCAGUAUUAACAUCAGCCCAAUCACACCGAAAUAAGACAACUUUCCAUCUGCCAUAAUAAUCAAAUUCAAUAAUCUUGGUAAGAAGUCCGUAAUACUCCACAUUACCCUCAACCGGAUUACUAUCCCUAGCACUAGCAUAACUUGUAAUUGAAGAAUUAACAACAAUUCCACAAUUUUGAGUUCUCCUCAUUCUCUCGUGAUAUUUUGUAUGAAAUCUGUAUCCAUUGAUGAGGAAGGCACUAUAUUUUUUUAUUACUCUGUUAGGACCUUAGGAAAGCCAUUUAAUUUCGUCAUUGACAUCCCUCCCACUCCAAACCAAUUGAGUCGAAAGUAAAUUAUUAACUUUCGCGAUUAUAUGUAACUUAUUAACUUUAGUUACAUACCGUUUGGCUUAACCAGUCAUGAAAAGAUUCUGUGAAUAACUUAUUAAUCUCUCGAUGUUGUAAUCUUCGAGAGCAUGUGACACCCCUAAUUUGACCCUAGUCGAAAAGUAGUUUCGGGACCACAAAAUCGAGUCAUAAAAAUAAUUAGCCGUCAUAUUUUAUGCCUAUUAUAUGUGAAUACGAUUGUGUGAAAGUUUUAAGCUCUGAUUUAGUAAAUUGCAUGUAAAUUUAGUCAAUAGGACUUAUGUGUGACACUUUUGAAAUGUGAUAGGUCAAAACAUAAGGAUCUAUUAGUGCAUGAAAUAAAAAGGGUGGACUUGCAUGUCAAUUUCCCCCCCCCCCCUAAUUAGUAGUGGCCGGCCAUGAGCAUGAGAGUGGACAAAAUGUUAUGGGGUGAAACAUGUUGGAAACAUGUUGUGUUAGUGUGUUAUGGGAGAAAGAAUAUAAUAAAAGUUAAUGAAAUAAAUGAAAAAACAUGUUUGAGGUGAAAAUAACAAGGCCAUUUUCUUCUUCUUCUUGCCGUGAGUUGAGAAAGAAAAUAGAAACCUUUGAGCUUAGGGCAUUCGGCAAAAGAAUGCUUCAAAUAAGGUAAGGUUCAUGUUAUUUUCUUUGAAAAGUUGUGAAUUUUGGUUGGUUUUGAAGCUUGCAACAAGACCCAUGUGAAAAUUUUUGUGUUCAUGAAGCAUGUAGCAAUCGGUCAUGAGCUUAAUGGGGUAUAUUUUGUAUGUUUGAUGAUUUUGGGAGGAUAAUUGAUUCUAGUUGAGUAUGAAGAAACUAAAUGUGCUUGAUGGCUCAAAUGAGCUUGGAAAGUUGGCCAAUGUUGUUUAAGUUCAUGAAUUAGGGCAUAAUUUCAUUCGGCCAUGGAAAUUGAGCAUGGAAAAAAAAAUCUAGUGUGGGAUAUAUGAAGCUGAAAAUUUAGUUUGAAGUGUGGUAAUUGUGUUAAAGAUGAACAUUAAACCUUAAAGCAUGAUUUAGUUUAACCAAGGGAGAACUUGUAUAUUUGUAGGAGGGCAUGUUUGAACGUGUAUUGAUAAUUGAUUUUGAAGGUUUGGCUUUAUGCCUUGAUAGUUGGUUUGAAGUAUAUGAUGCCUUGGUAUAAAUAUAUGUGCAUUCGGUUACCUUCAUAACAUGCAUUUAAAGUGUCCUUUGGAUGCAAUUGCUUAUGCACUUGAGGGGAUAUGAGUUAAUUUUCUUUAUGGCAAAUUUGGAUAAGAAGCUAACUAAUAGUAUGCUAAGGUAGUCAUGUGGAUAAUCGGCUUUGUGAAUAUUAUCAAAGGUGUAAUUAGUUAUAUGCAUAGGUCAUCGGAAAAAUUGACCACAUAACUAGUAUAUGUAUAUAAGGCGACAUGGUGAUACCUAGGUAAAUGUAUUUGGGAUGGUUUUUAUGAAAUACCGAAUGUGUGCAGAUGUAUCGAGGUGUUGCCUUAUGUAUGAGUUUCAUUGAGAAGAUUUACCUUGUUGUUUUUAAUGAUAUAACAAGGUGAUUAAAAUAGUUUAAAUUUUGUUAAUUAAGCUCAAGAGCAUAGAGGGGCAAUUUUGGAUAAAGAGAAAGUAAACGAAUAGCCGUGGAUAUCUAGUCGUCGACCACUUCCGAGGUAAGUUUUAAGUGAUUAAACGUUGAGUAAAUUCAAUCAUAAUAGGACAUAAUGAGUUGAUUUAAUAAGAUAUGAUGUGGCCAUGAUAUGUCUUAAACUCAAAUGGUAAGUUCAUAUGUGUUUGGACUUGGAAAGUUAAGAGCAAAUUGUAAUAAUUUGCUUUGGACAGCAGCAGUAACGUGAUUUUAGAAAAUCACUAUAAAUUGUUGUGUGGAAUUAUAGGCUGAAUAAAAUAUGUAAUCAAGUCUUAAUUAGUCUAGUUUCUUAUAAAAGAGACCUUGUGAGCAAACAAAUUUCCUAUAAAGAGAUAUUUAAAGUUGUGUGAGACGGUGUCAGAAUGACUCCGAAAUCCCCUGUUCUGUUUUUAGAAAAUCAUUAUAAAUUGUACAAAAAUGAUUAUAAGAUAAAAUUUACAUGCUUAGACUCCUUAAUGAGUCUAGUUUCAAAUGAAAUCAAAUACAACACAUUUUGAAUUCUGUAAAAUGAGAAAUUUGAUUCGUAGUGAAGAGUGGUCAGAUUAGUCAAACAGUGAAACAGGGGAAACUUUAAGAAAAAUCUGGUAUUGAUUGGCCAAACCUAAAAUUCUGAAAAUUUUAUGGAUGGAAGAUAUACGAGUCUAUAUUCAGGGAAAAUUAACGACAAGUGAUUUGGAGUUUUGUAGAUCCAGUUAUAAAUAAUUUAGUGACUACUGCUCAGGAAAACAGCUCGUAGUGAAUAUGUGAUUUUGUUGUAAACAUGGAUAAAACUUGUUUUAGUUACUCAUAAGCUAUUGAUUAAACCCAUACGUGAAUUCUAAGUUGUGAUAUUGUAAAAUGAUACAUGAGUGUUAGAUGGAUCUUUGAUAUUAAAAUUUGUGAAAUUGUAAGUUUAUGAGUAUUCGAAUAUGAAAUGAUAGUAUGGCGUGAAAUUGAAUUAUUCAUUGGGAAAUGAUUAAUUUAGAUUCGGCCAGGACAAAGUGUAUACAUGAUAGUAUAUGUGAUAUGUGAAGUAUAUUUGGAUAAUUGUGAUGUGAAUGUAUAUAUAUGUGAUAAGGCCUAAUGGCCGAUGUGAUGAAUGUGAAAGUGUAUAUAUAUGUGAUAAGGCCUAAUAGCCAAUGUGAUGAAUGUGAAAGGGUAUAUAUGUGAUAAGGCCGAAUGGCCGAUGUGAUGAAUGUGAAAGUGUAUAUAUAUGUGAUAAGGCCUAAUGGCCGAUGUGAUGAAUGUGAAAGUGUAUAUAUGUGAUAAGGCCUAAUAGCCAAUGUGAUGAAUGUGAAAGUGUCUAUAUGUGAUGAGGCCUAAUGGCCGAUGUGAUGAAUGUGAAAGUGUAUAUAUGUGACAGGGCUGAGUGGCCAAUGUGAUGGAUGUGAAAGUGUAUAAAUGUGAUAAGUCCCGAAGGGCAAUUGUGUCAGUACUAUAUCCGGGUUAAAACCCCGCAGGCUUUAUGCGAGAGUAUUAUCCUGAUUAAUGUCCGUAGGCUUCGUGCUCGUACUAUAUCCGAGCUUUAAAGACCCGACGGCUAAAUGCUAGGAUUCAAGUAAGACUUUGAUAUUGAGUAUCUGCAUUAAGUUACCAUCAAAUAAGUAUUAUGUAUUCAAGAUGUUCAGGUACGUAUUACUUACUCAUCGGUGGAGUGAUUUCGAGGUGAAUUAUCAGUAUCAAAGAGGUAGGUAAAUGUGAUUAAUAUUAUAACUCCAAAUGUGAGAAUGUGCUUUGGAAAUAUUUGACCAUCUAGGUCAUUAUUAUUCGAAAGUAUAUAUGUGGCAGCCAAGUGUUGCGUUUAAUGAUAUUAUAGAUCGAAAUGAAGCUCUAGAUUAACUUCAUCGAACAGUUGAAAUGAAUGACCAAUAAUAGUGAUUGAGAACACUUUGUCUUGCUUAAAACUUACUAAGCAUUAAAUGCUUACUCCGUUCUUUGAAUCUCUGUUUUAUAGAUUUUGGUUCGUCAGCUAUCGGACUCGGGAUUAUUGAAGUCGAAGUCGCCCACACUAUCAAAGCCCUUUUGGUACACUUUUGGUUGAACUCUGAAAAUGGCAUGUAUAGGACUACCCUUUUUGUAGUGGGUCAUGGACCCUUUGGAUUUGUAUAAUUUUGGAUAGCCAUGCGAAAAUGGCUUAUAUAUGUUUGAGCAUAAUGUUAUAAUCAUUUGGUAUGAAUAUGGUUAUUGAGAGGUGUGGAUAUGCUUAACAAGGAUUGGCCAUGGGAAUGGUUAAUCACUAUCAUAAUUUGUGCUAUUUAUGCUAAAAGGGCUAGUUGAAUCAUGGAAACUAUGAAAUAGGUAAAGUCUACCUUAAAGGCAGAUGCUGACAGCAGCAGUGAUGUAGAUUUGGAAAAUCACUAAAAAUAGUAGAAAUAUAAUUAAAUAGUGAAUAAAUUAUUUAAAUGAACCUUGAUGAAUCCACUUUCAUAUGGAAGAAACGAAACGGUCAUAUGAGUGGUAUGUUAAGAGAUAAUUAGGUUUUCGUGAGACAGGGCCAGAACGGUUUCUGGAUUCCCUGUUCCGACUUUGGAAAUUAAUUAUAAAUUAACCAGAGAUAAUUAGGAGUCAUUCCAUAUAUGUAUAGAUUCCUCUCUGAGUCUAGUUUCUAUAGAAACAAACGGAAUCAGUAUUGAAGCUUUGUACAGGGAGAUAUCGGAAUUGUAAUGCAUGAAGGUCAGUGUAGUCGCACCCUGUAACAGGGGCGACUUUAACUAAUAAACUGUACUAAUUGGCCCAACCAAAAAUUCUAGAAAAAAAUAUGUAGAUGGACAUAGGAGUCUAAUUUCAGGGAAAAAUCACGAAACUGAUUUUCGAGUUGUGAAACUCAAGAUAUGAUUUUUAAGGUGACAGCGACACAGUUAGCCAGCUGUCUGGAAAAAUUUAAAAUGGACUGCGAUAGUAAGCGAAUUUAGUCUGUGAACCCCUCGUGUCCGACUCCGGCAACGGUCUCGGGUACGGGGUGUUACAGAGGAUGCACGAGAUUUCAAAAUUUGUUUGUACUCACUAUGUUAAAAACAAGUUUAAUUGGUUAAAAGAUAAACAAAUCAAAACGACGAAUAUGUGAGGAAAUUUUAGGAUUUACUUGCGUAACGGUUCAACUGAAUCGUGGUGAAAAAGUACAUAUCGAUGUGCUUGUAUCCACAAUAUAUCAUCUAAUUCUUCAAUUUCAACUUUUUCGAUUGAUUCUCCAUAACUUUGGAAUAAAUAAGUUUCGCCCAAGUUAUGAUCAUUGAGCCCACCAUUUCUAUUUGGUCUAUUCAAUCGUGUUUCAACAUCUUCUAAAUAUCUAGAACAGAAGGUCAUACACUCCUCUGCCAAGUAGCCUUCAGCAAUUGAUCCUUCUGGAUAACGCUUAUUGCGACAAUAAGAUUUCAAUUUGCUUAGGAACCUAAACAUGAUAUACAAUAUUUAUCAAAAGUUGUAACUAAAUGUAUAGAGGCGAAUGAAUAAAUACUUGAAAAAUAAAUUAGCACCUUUCUAUAGGAUACAUCCAUCGAUAAAAAAUCGGUCCACCAAGUAUUGCUUCGUGAGGGAGAGGGAUUACCAAGUGCACCAUAAUAGUGAAGAAGGAAGGCGGAAAGAUCUUCUCCAAAUUGCAUAAAGUCAAAGCAGCUCGAUCCUGUACUUUCUUAAGUUCUUCACCAUCCAAAAAUUUGCCAAAAAUAGCUUUCAUUAUAUUGGAUAGUUCAAUUAUACAGGACGUCACAUUUUUUGACAUACAGCACCGUAAAGUAACUGGGAGUAAAUCUUUCAUCAAGAUGUGGUAAUCAUGUGAUUUUAAUGAAUAUAAUCUUCGAUCUUUAAGACUCACACAUCGAGAUAUAUUUGAUGCAUAUGCAUCUGAGACCUUUAUAUCCUUCAACACCAUGCAAAACACCUCUUUCUCUUUCUUUGACAUAGAAGGCGGAAACCGAUAUUUCCCAUUCAGAAGUACUUGAAGAUGAAAAUCACGCCGAAUUCUCAUGUAAACUAAAUCAAGUCGACUCUGAAGAUUGUCUUUUGAUUUUCCAUCGACAUUUAAAAUUGUCCCAAUUAUGUUCUCGCAGACAUUCUUCUCAAUAUGCAUGACAUCAAGAUUGUGGCGUAAAAUGUUUUUCUCCCAAUAAGGCAACUCAAAAAAAAUACUCCUUUUUUUUCCACAAGUCCGCCUCAUUAGGAUAAUCCUCUUCGUCAGAUUCAUCAUCAGAUUCAUCCCUCGAUCUUCUCUUUGUUUGCGUGAUAGGUGGUUGAUUCAGCUUCCCGUAACUAAAGUUGAUAUCUUUUAACAUAAACAAGAUUUCAGAUCCAACGGUCUACUCGGGAGCUCCUCUGUACUCUUCUGUACCGUCAAAUAGAGUCCUCUAAAAUCUAAAUUUAUGAUUUCCAUCUAACCACCGACGAUGGCCCAUGUAAGAGAACUUCUUCCCAUUAUACAACCACUUCGAACAAGUUUGCGCAGCACAACAAUGAUAGGCAUAACGUCCUUUAGUACUCCAACCCGAUAAAUUAGCAUAAGCCAGGAAAUCAUUAAUUGUCCACAAUAAAGCUGCACGUAAAUUAAAGUUCUCCUUUCUUAAUACAUCAUAUGUCUCAACACCCGACCAUAACUAUUUUAACUCUUCAAUAAGUGGCUGCAAAUAGAUGUCAAUAUCAUUUCUGGGACCUUUCUCUCCAGGGAUAAUCAUUAAUAAAAUAAAUGAAGAUUGCUUCAUGCAAAUCCAUGGAGGCAAAUUGUAAGGAACAAGCACUACAGGCCAAGUACUGUACGAAGUACUCAUGAUUUUAAAAGGAUUAAAGCCAUCAGUUGCUAGCCCAAGCCUCACAUUACGAGGAUCACUUGCAAAGCUUGGAAAUUUACUAUCAAACGAUUUCCAAGCUAAAGAAUCAGCAAGAUGCCUUAAUAAUCCAUCAUCGGUUUGUUGAUCAUUAUGCCUCCUCAUAGAAUUGGCCGUCUUUGACGACAUGAAAAGCCUUUGAAGUCUUGGUAUUAGGGGAGAAUAUCGCAUAACCUUGACUGGCUUCUCUCUUAACUGUGCCCCACCUUCAUCCCCAUCUACAUCUUCUGUAUUCCCAUUCAUCCAACGAGACUUACCGCAAACAUGACAAGACUGUUGGUUCUUCUGAUCACCCCAGUACAACAUGCAGUCAUUUGGGCAACUAUGAAUUUUAUCGUACCCAAGGCCCAAAUCUUUUAUUAGUCUCUUCAUAUCUUGACAAGACUGGGGGAUUUUUGCAAAUGGAAACAUCUCUCUUAGAAACUCUAGCAGCAUUGUAAAAGAGUUUCCGGUCUACCCUCCCAAACACUUUAAGUGAAAUAGACGAAUGCAGAAGGACAAUUUUGAAUAUUUUGAUCCCUCGUAAAGUUCUUCGUUCAUUUCAUUAGGUAAAUUGUAGAAUUUCGCCACUUCUUCAUUUGGCUCCUCAUCAGGUGCACUUGUUCCCAUUUCGCAAAAAACAUUUCCACCAAUAUUACAAUAGUCGGAUACAAUAAAGUCAGGUGGAAACGAUUGCUCACCAUGACUGUGCAUAUUAAAUGCAUCCCGCAACAUACCUUCCAUGUCAUCUUGUCUAACAUACUAGUGGUAAUCAGUAUCAGGAUAAGUCGGAUUAAUCGUUGAAGAAGUUCCACUAGAUGUACACUCUCCAUGGAAAAUCCAUUUUUAUACCCCUGAAUAAAGCCAUCAACAAUUAAAUGUUCGUAGACAACUUCACGUAAAUUCCAAUUGACGUUGCCACACUUCUUACACGGGAAAAGAAUCAUAUUCUCUUGGUUUGCAUUUUGAAAUGCAAAAUUUAGAAAAGUUUGUACUCCAUUUCGAUAGGCGUUGCUUACCCUUGACAAUUUCAUCCAACUCCUAUCCAUUUCGUAGUUCUUGAAUUCUAAAGUUGACAAUAAAUUACAUAGGUAAGUUGUUUAUUUAUAACUCUAAUUAAGUUAUGUAAGUUAUGAUAUGAUAUAUAUUUAUGUAUUAUGUAAGUUAUGUAAAUUAUGUAAGUUCUGUAAGUUAUGUGAGUUAUGUAAGUUAUGUAAAUAUAAGUUAUGUAAGUUAUGUGAGUUAUGUAAGUUAUGUAAGUUAUGUAAGUUAUAUAAGUUAUGUAAGUUAUGUGAGUUAUGUAAGUAAGUUAUGUGAGUUAUGUACGUUAUGAAGUUAUAUAAGUUAUGUAAGUUAUGUGAGUUUAUGGGAGUUAUGUAAGUUAUGUAAGUUAUGUAAGUUAUAUCAGUUAUGUAAGUUCAAGUAUAUAUUUUACGUUACUAGUGAUAUGUAUUCAGUAUAUACAUUUUUAGAAUCUAUGAAUUUUGCCACAUUAAUAAUUUAUAACUAUAAAUUUCUCUCUAUAUUAAAAUGAUACUAAAUAUUUUAAUUAUUUUUAGCAUUCCCAUUUUCUUAGAUUUAAUAUGUUCUUAUAUAUUAAACUGACAAUACAUUUAUUACUUCAGCAUUUCAUUUUUAUUUACCUCAGAAAAAAAAAUAAAAAUAAUUUUGACGAUGUGGAAAAUCACAUGGAAAAAAAAUUUAUUUUAAUUAAAUAAUAUUUAUAAAAGUGAUAUUAAUUUAAUAAUAUUUAAUAAAUUAAUCCAAAUUAUAUUAUUAAUUAAUCCAAAUUAUAUUAAUUAAAUAAUAUUUACAUAAAUUAAUCCAAAUUAUAUUAAUUAAAUAAUAAUUAAAUAAAUUAAUCCAAAUUAUAUUAAUUAAAAUAAGAUUGAACAUUGUUUUAAUAUAGACAUGUGUUUUGCGUUUAUUUGACAAAUCACAUGUGCAGUUAAAAUAUAGAUGUACAAUAGUCCACACUUAAUUUAAUUUCUGUUUUACAAGUCAUCUUUUCUUAAGUACAUGUUAAAGCAUUGUGUGAACAUCCGUAUUUAGUUUAAAAGCUAUGAUUUAUUUUGAAUAAAAAGUUUUAACUUAAAUGAUAAAACGGACGAUAAUAUUUGUGAUAAAAUGGACGAGCAUAUUUCAAUAAUAAUUUAAAUUUAAUUAUAAAAAAUAUAUAAAAUAUUUUAUUAAAUAUUUGUAUCGGAGAUGGGACAUAUUAUACUAAUAAUUUAAUUUAUUAAAAAUCGUGAUAGAAAUAUAGAAAUAUUUAAUCACAAAUUACAAAAAUAGGGUAGAAAAAAUUCACAUGGCAAAUACAUGGCAGAUUUCAAUAGAGAGACAUCAAAUAAAGAUUUAACAAAUUAAAUAUACAUACCUCUUAGAAAUUGUAAAUUGGAUGGUAUAGUCAAUUCCAGCAAAUUAAAUUACACCUGCAAACAAUGAACAACCAUGAAAUUAAAAAAUAAUCCGAGGAUAAACAAGAUUGUAAUUUAGUACAAGAGAUGUUGAAUGAAGUUGAUGUUGUGGUUAACCUUGCUUCAACAACCAACUUUGCCAAAAGGUAAUAUAUAUAUAUUGUCUUUCAGUAAAUCAGAUGAUAGUUAAUGUUUGCCACUCUAACUAUGCCUUUGAAUAUAUGUUGUCAGUAUAUUAAAUAUUAGAAAUUUAUUUUUUAAUUAUACUUUAAAUUAUAUUUGAUGUUUUUAUUCUUAUUUUUUCUUGUAGAUAUGAUGUGGCACUUGGUCUCAAUACAUUUGGAGCUAAAUUUGUUGCAAAUUUCUCCAAGAAAUGUGUGAAACUAAAAGUUUUGGAUCAUGUAUCCAUAGGUUAGCGAAAAACAAUGGUUUUUUUUGGUAAAAGUGUAUAAUAGUCCCUAUAUUAUACUUCAAGUUGCAUUUUGAUCCUUUUAUUGAAGAAAAAACAUUUAAUUCACUUAAUUUUAACGAAAGACUUAUUUGAUCUAAUAUAUAGGGAUCAGUUUGUUAAUUUUUUUUCAAAAUGUAAUCCUAGAUAUAAUAUAGGGACUGCGGGUAAUUUUACCUUUUUUCAAUAAAAUAUGAAUGUUAUUUAAAUUUUUUUAUUAUAUAACGGGGUGUACAUUUUUAUGCAAUUGAUAAAUGAAUUUAAUGUUGUGGUAUUUGUUUACAGCUUAUGUGUCAAGAGAAAAGACAGGGCUUAUACUUGAAAAUUCAUACAGCAUGGGAGAAACCCUUAAUGGUGUUUCGGGCUUAGACAUUAAUUUUGAGAAAAAAAUUAUUGAAUAAAAAUUGAAUGAACUGAGAUUGCUAGGCGCUUCAGCCAAGGAUAUUUAGCAAAAAUUAAAAGGUUGCAAAUUGAGCAAAAAUUCACUUAGCUCAUGGAAUACAUGGCAGAUUUCAAUGGAGAGACAUCAAAUAAAGAUUUAACAAAUUAAAUAUACAUACCUCUUAGAAAUUGUAAAUUGGAUGGUAGAGUCAAUUCCAGCAAAUUAAAUUACACCUGCAAACAAUGAAUAGCCAUGAAAUUAAAAAAUAAUCCUAGGAUAAACAAGAAUAGUAAUUUGAGUUUUUACAUUAAAAAAAUGUACAAUAACAAACUUGAAAAUUUAUAGACUAAAAUGGAAAUUCAAAAACCCUUUGAAAUUAGACUAACACGGGUUUACUAAAUACGGGUGUUACUAUCUGCGUGGUAUAUUAUACAUAUAUUCAUAUUAUAUGUAUUUGCUUAAUAUGGUAACUUAUAUACAUAUAUUCACAAGCAGCUGGAAGAAAAACUAGAAGAAAAUAGGGAUGGGUUCCUUACUUUAUCACAGAAGACUCGUACAAGCCACGAAAUAAUUCCCAUUUAUUAGCAAAUUCAGCAGUGAUAGGCAUCAGCCUUGGCAGCCCACCUGAAGUCCUAAAGUUGCAUUUGAUCAAAAAGAUAAUAGAGCAAUUAGAAGGAAGCAACCAAUACCCCAAAACACACAGAAGAAAAGCAACACAUUCAUUCAUGCCUUAGAUAGAACCCUGUAACGGGUUCAGCUAAAAGGAUAUCUGAUGUCUCCCCAUUCUCAAUCCUAUCUAUGUAAUGCUUGAGAUCUUUAUAAGUAACUAUAGGAACAUUUUUCUUAAAUAGCUGUUUCUCGGUUUGACCAUGGAGGAAUCCCUUUAAAUACUCUGUUCCUGCAUAUCAACUUUGUAUUUCCCUGAAUACCUUGUCUUGAAUUUGCUCAGCAUUUGUGGUCAGUUCCUCAAUUGUAUUCAACCCACCUUCAUACCCAUUCAUUGCCAUCAACCCUAUUAUUGAGAUCCAAACAUCUUUUUGGGGAUAUUCUAGCUAUUGGCAAUGGAAUCUCUACCUACGCUAAAUACAAUAAGAUUCACGGGACUAGAGCCACACAUGUCAACACUCAUAAUAAACAAUGUGGCAUCAAUGGAAUGAUUAAAACAUGAAUUAGUAAUAUAUUAAAUAUAUAAACAAUGUGGUAUCAAUAGGCGAACAGUAACUGUUGUAUAUGAACAACAUGAACACAAUACCUAUAGUAUAGGACUCGAAAUUCCAGCUACAGCGGCGUAGAGAAGAGGCAGACGCAGACGUAGAUGCAGACGCAGUUAGGGAAAAUGAGAGAAAAGAAAUUGGGUAAAUGGGGAAAUGAGAUCAGGUUUAAGUUGGGGAAGACGAAGACAUAGUUAGGGUGCAAAAUCAAAUUUUUUGAUUUGCGGUUAUGGGAAAAUUACUGAUAGCUGAGCAAAUCAAAGGGACUUCGGGGAAAAUGAUUUGAGGAUAUCUCUUUGGGGGAAAUUAUAGGGGAUUUCUAAAAUUAGGGUUUGGAAGUAAUGGGAAAUUUUAAGGAUUUCUGAAACAGAUGAAGUAAAGGAAGUAAUCAGGGUAAACUGAACUGGGGAAAGUAAAGGGAAAUUGGGGUUCCAAAAAAUGACGACGUUUUCAAUCUAUUCAAAAAUAUUUGUGGCAUCUUUAUAAAGCGUCUCUAAUUAGAAAGGCUACAAACGACGCAGUUUUUGCAAUCUUUUAAUAGAUUUUUGUGGCGUUUCUAGCGAAAACGCUUGUAUUUCACAUAUUUUGUGGUGUUUAUAAAAGCGCCACUAAUAAAAGGCUAUAAAACGAUGACGUUUUGAAAUCUCUUUAGAUGUUUUGUGGUGUUUUUCUAAGAAGUGCCACUAAUAACUUGGUACUAACGACGCCGUUUUACAAUCUAUUAAUAGAUGUUUGUGGCGUUUUCUAGUGAAAACGUCAGUAAAUCACACCUUUUGCGGCGUUUAUAGAAGCGCCACUAAUAAGAGGGAUGUAAACGACACCGUUUUACAUUCUCUUAAUAGAUGUUUUGUGACGUUUUUUAGAAGCGCCACUAAUAACAUAGCUUCAAAACGACAUAGUUUAAAAUAUUAAUACAUGUUUGCGGCGUUUGUUUUCUAAAACGCCACUAAGUAUGCAAUAUAAAUCCUUUUUUUUCUCUUUUAUUAUUAUUAUUAUUAUUAUUAUUAUUAUUUACUAUUAAUACAUGGUUAAAUUUUAAUUUGGUCUCUCUAAUAUAUUUAAAUUUUAGAUUUAUUUGCAUAUACUUUAAUUUUUAAUAUCGUUUAGUCUAUAUAUUUUUAUAAUAUUAUUAAUUAAUCUAAACAGUUAAUAUUAUUAAAUUUUUUAUUAAAACAUUACAUGGUAAUAUAAAAUUUGAAAAUUUAGAGAAUAGAGAUUGAAAUGUGGUUUCCAAUUUUUUAUAUGUUUGUGUCGUUCUUUCACAUUAAUAUAUAUAUCAAUAUAUAUCCAUAUAUAUGAAAUUUAUUCUUACAGGUUUAGGAUUUAGUAUUUAAGUGUUUGAGGGUUUACUAAGGUUUUAUGGUUUUGGAUUUAGGGUUUAUGGUUUAAGAUUUAGGGUUUAUAGUUUUAAGUUUUAUAAUUUAAGGUCUAGUGAUUUAGGUUUAUAGUUUUAUGAUUUAGGAAUCUAUAUUUAAGGGUUUAAGGGUUUAGUACUGUCUAUAGUUUAGGGUUUUAUGGUUUAGGAUUCAAUGUUUAAUAUUUAGGGUUUAAGGUUUAUAGUUUAUGAUUUACGACUAGAGAUUUAGGGUUAGAGAUUUAAAGGGUUAUUCAUUUAAGGGGUUAGGGGUUAGGGUUUAGAGAAAGUAACAUUGAUUUUAAGAGCUUCGUAACUUAAUUAAAUGAAAACUUUUAAUUAGUUUAUUUAUCAAAGUGUAACUUUUCAUAAUUAAGUAACUAAAAUGAAAUUAACUUUCCCAUAGCUAAGUGAAUGGUGUAGUUAAUUUAUAUUGUUUAUAAAGUCGCUUUUAGAUAUGAUCAAAAUAAAAUCGAAUUCAAAAUAAAAAUAAGACCUUCUUUAAUUUGUUAUAAUUUGGUCCUAUCCAAAAUAGAUAGUUACCUAUAUAUCCAUAUCAAUCUGUACUUUUUUUAUUUAUUUUUCAAUAAAUAAUUUGUUAUAAUUUUAAUAUAUUAUCUUUUUUACAAUUAUAUAAGAGAUUAUUUAAUUUCAUAUAUAAAUUAAAAAAUAUUAAUUAAUCUAAACCUUAAAUCCUUAACUACAAUCUCUGAAACCUUAAAUCAUUAAACAUAAACCAUCAAGCCUAAACCCCAACCCUUAAACUCAUAAUCCAUUAACCUUAAAAUAGUUUAGAUCUAUAGCGGCGUUUUUCAAAAAGCCCCGCUAAAACCGAAACUAUUGCAACGUUUUCUGAGGAAGCGCCGCUAAUGCCACUAAAGCUCAAAAUAAACGACGUCGUUCUGUUUAAUCUUUUAGCGGUGUUUUUAAAAAAACGCCGCUAUAGAUCGACCUAUAGCGGUGCUUUUUUAAAAAUGCCGCUAAUGUUGGAUCUAUUGCGGCGUUUUUCGGGAAGCGCCUCUAAUGCCACUAAAGCUCAGAAAAACGAUGUCGUUCUCUUUAAUCUUUUAGCGGCAUUUUUGAAAAAGCGCCGCUAUAGGUCAAUCUUUAGCGGCUCUUCCUUAAAAACGCCGCUAAUGCUUGAUCUUAGCGGCGCUUUCAUAAAAAUGCCGCCAAUACUCGAUCUAUUCGAUUUUUAAUGGCGUUUUCUAUUCAAACGCCGCUAAAACCCUAUUUUGGUGUAGUGUGUUUUCUUUUAAAAUUUCAUUUAUUAUCUAUUUUAUUUUUGUAAUGACCAUCUUAAACUCUUUUUAUACAUCAUUUACUUUAAAAUUUUAUGUAUUAUUCAUUUUAAUUUAUUUUUAGAUAUCAUUUAUUUUAAAUUUUUUUCAUAUGUGAUUUUUUUUAAAUCUUUGUGUAUAUUAUAUAUUUUAAAGGUUUAUAUGUAUUACUUGGUUUAAAUUAUUUUAUAUGUCAUUUACUUUAAAUUUCUUCACAUUGUUAUUUUUAAAACUGUUUUAUAUUUUUUAUAUAUUAUGUAUUUUAAAAUUUUUUACAUAUUAUUUAGUUUAAACUUUUAUACGUCAUUUUAAAUUGUUUUAUAAAUUAGUCAUUUUAGAUUGUUUUAUAUAUUAUUUUAUUUUAAAUUGUUUUGUAUAUUAAAUUUUUUUAAAGUUAUUAUUUACUUAAAAUUGCUUUUGUAAUAUCUAUUUUAAAUUUGUUUUUUUAUGUAUUAUUUGUUUAGAAUUAUCUAUUUUAAAUUGUUUUAUAUUAUUUAUUUCAUUUAAUUAUUGUUAAUGUUAAUACUUAAAUAAUGUAUGUGGUGUGAUUAUUGUCAUUGUGUAUCAUAUUUCGGUUAUUUGUAUUUUCAGGUCAUUGUCAUUCACUUUUAUAAUGUUGUAUUCAUAUACUUUUGCUCCAUGCUCAUUAUUAUACUUUUAUUUCAUGUCAUUGCAUCGUGAAUUAAACUCCAACGUUUUUAUUCAAUAUAGAUCGCUUCGUUUUACUCCGAACAAAAUAAUGCACAUCGUUAAAUGUCACGCUCGUUAUUACUUAAAAGGAAAAUUUCUAAAAUAAGGCAAUAUUUCGCGUUUCAGGAAUUCGAGAAAUUGUACCCUAACUUACGGGGUUUCGUCUUUCUCAUUAAACCUAAAUAGCUAAAUAUCCUUUUAGAUUUCAAAACACAAAGUUUCAAUAAAAAUUAAAGGCAGACUUGUUCCCAAAGAUUUAAACGUCGCAUCCUAACUUACGGGAUGUGACACCUUAUUAUCGCGGGACGAGUAUGCCUUUGAUGCUCGUUUCAACGUAAUUCAAGCGUUUUAAAAUUAACAUUCAUAAAAAGGACCGUAUUUUAAAUUCGUUCUCGAUUUUCAACUUUCGACAUUAAGACACUAAUUAAUCAAUUCGGUACCAAUUUUGGGCGUGACGAGGGUGCUAAUCCUUCCUCGCACGUAACCGACUCCCGAACCCGUUCUCUCGAGUUUCGUAGACCAAAAAUACCGUUUUAGUAAACUAAAAUGUUUUGUUAAAACAAAGGUGAUCCGAUCACACCUAAUAAAGAUCAGUGGCGACUCCUGUUUUAAUCUUCGCUUUCAAACAAAGUCGAUGCUCGUUUUUUCAAAAAAAUGGUUUCGACACACUGAAACUCACGUCCUCUUAAUUAUUGCAUAGCAAUAGUGCCAAUUGAACUAAAACUCAAUUGACAUUUGAGAUUUUUUUAGUCUCCGACAUUGUUAAGAAAUAUAUUAUGAGGACAUAAAAUGUCUAAAAUUGACGUCAUGUUAAAAAUGAUAUUAUCACAUUAUUUUUAAUGAUAAUUGAAUAAAUUAAUAGUAUUAAAAAUAUAUAAUAUAUUACAAAAAUAGAAUUAUUUUAUUAUAUUGACUAAAUUUUUAUUUUAAUAAUUUUGAAACUGGUAAAUAUAUCACGAGUGAAUAAAGUCUUAUAUUUAAAAUAAAAUACAAUAUGUAAAUAUUUGAUUAUUUAAUGAGUGUGAAAAGAGUUAUACACUCAAAACAACUUUCGUUGUUGCUUUAACUUUUGUUGCUAAACAACAAUUUACCGGUUAUCAAGCUUUUUAAUAUUUUGGAUAAGUAGUAAAAUAUCUAUUUAACCAAAAAUUAAAUAAACUGCUACAAUGUUACAAAGACAAACUACCAAGCAAAAAUAGUAGUGUUCAAACCCCAUGCAGUAUGAAGUGCAAAGUGUACAUGGCCAGCCUUAACUCCACAAAUUUUACACUCAAAUAGUUGAAAAUGUUAAAAUUGAUUCAAAACGUUUUUGUCUUAUUUUGACUAUCAUGAUGAUCAAGAGAAAGGAUUGUAUGAAACAGUGACGACACGUCAUCUGUAUCUUCCAAUAGUUUUAUGCCACAUCAGUAUUCUUAUCCUGAAUUUCAGUAUUUUAAUUUGGAUUUAUUUUUUUCAGGAUAAAAUCUUAAAAUUCAGGCUAAAAGUACUGAUGUAGCAUAAAAUUAUUGGAAAGGGAUACAGAUGACGUGGUAUCACUGUUUCAUACAAUUCUCUCCCGAUGAUCAAUUAUAAAGUAAAUUCUGUUUUUUAAAUGUUUGAAAUCUAUAAGCUAAGCUAUGAUUACCCCCAUUUCCUUAAUAUGCAUAUAAUAUGAUUGCAUAUAUUUAGAAAUUGCAUAUAGGUUGAGCAUUAGACUUGGAUUAGGAUAUAAGCUUACUUUUUUUAGUAUCUUACGUUUUUUAAAUGAUAAUCUUUUAAGAUUUUUACCAUGACAUGUAUUGGAAGCUAUUUGAGUUUCCACAUGAUAUUUGACUUGGACAAAUAUAUCAUGUUAUAACAUAAUUUCCACACAUCACACUCAUAUUGAUAUCUAGUAUUCCUUCAUAUAUUGUAAUAUUGUUCUCCGUUGCUAUUACCAUGGUUCGUAAUUCAUAAAAUUUUGGUAACAAACAUGGUGAUAAUAUAUGAUGUUAAGCAUGUUUACUGAAUGAGUACACUUUGAUUGUCUAUAUAUAUGUUGUUGAUUCAAUGAUGUACGCUUUAUGAUCUUUUCUUCUCGAUUAUUCUUCAAAUUUGUAUUUUUUUGUGUUUACAUUUUGUAUAUGUUUGCUUUUAAUAUCACUAAGCUACUUUUUGUAUAGAUUUUCAUAUUUAGGUAGCUUUGAUUUUUUUUAUAUUUAAUUUUUAGUAUCAUUAUGCUUAUUUUAUACUUUUUGAUAUAUCAAAACGGGGAGAAAGAUAUAAGAAACUUAAGAUGCAUAUAUCUAGUAGAGAGGUAUAUAUGCAUGUAGUAAGGGGACAAUUACUAAAAUUGCAUAUGCUCGUAUUUCUCGUAUUAUUCUAAUGCUAAGUAUGCAAUUGUUGAUUUUUGAACUCUUUCUUCUAUAUUAACUGGUAUCAUUGAGCUUAUUAACAUCAUGCUUGGAUUAGUAUCCUUGUGCAUGUUUAUCAAAUGAUAUUAUGUUGAAGUUCAUAUGUGCAUAUAUGACAAACGUUAUGAAAUUCAUUCAUGCUUCUUGCAUUGUUAAGCAAGAUUAAUUUAGUCUUCAAAUUUGUUUAGGGAUUGUCCGAGCUUGGUGACUUGAAUAUGUGUAAAUGAUUUAGGAGUAGUUUUUCAAAGCAACUCUUUCUUAAAUUUUUGUUGUAUAAAAAAAAGGAAGGCCAUUAGUUUUGAUUUAUAAAGCUUAUGAUAUAACAACAUUUAAGAACAAUUUUCUAUUUCAUCUAAUGCGUCGAGGGUCUCAGUUUCUUAUUAAGUCAGGUGGAGGCUAAGGGUGCUUUGCAUGGCAUAUCUAUUUGUUGAGGUAGCCACUCGGUUUAUCACCUCUUCUUUGUGGAUAAUAGUUUUAUCUUCUUCUGUGCGACGGCUUCAAAGUGCCAAACUGUAAAAGAUAUCUUACUGGCUUAUGAGUUUGCCUCGGGUCAAGCUGUUAAUUAUCAGAAGUCGGGGGUUAUGUACAGAUUUAACACAAAACUUUCGGAUAAGCAAGCAGCUUGGUUGAUUCUUGGGGUAACGGCUCCCGUCUAUCAUGGUAGGUAUCUGGGGCUGCCGUGUUUAGUAGGGUGAAAUAAGAAGGUUGUGCUCUCUUUUAUCCUUGAGCGUCUUAGUAAAAGACUUUACAGCUGAAAGAAUAAAUUAUUGUCUCGACCGGGCAAGGAUGUGGUUUUUAAAACAGUAGCUCAAGCACUGUUGGUGUACUGUAUGAGUGUCUUUUUACUGUCAUUGGGGGCUUGUGAGGAGUUGCAGCGCAUGAUGAAUUCGUUUUGGUGGGGAUUCAGCGGUGCUAAUAUUAAAGGUAUUAGGUGGGUCUGUUGGGACCGACUUUGUGACCCAAAGAAACUUGGGGGGGGGGGGGGGGGGAGGGGGGGCGGUUGGCUCGAUUUUCGACAUCACUGUUUCAACCUGAUAACGCUUUGCCAGCAGGGAUGGAGGUUUCUCUCUAACCACGAUUCUCUUCCUAGUAGAGUUUUCAAAGCUAGAUAUUUCCCUUAGUGUGGCUUUCUUCAGUCCAAUGAAGGUGCUAAUCCCUCAUUAAUUUGGAGGAGUAUUUUCUCUACUAAGGCAUUGCUUAAAAAGGGUGCUUGGUGGCGUUUUGGCAAUGGUACUGACAUUUGUGUUUUUGCUAAUCCUUAUCGGACCCUCUUGAUGGCUUAGAGGAUAUGCGUGUUAACGAGUUACUUACUGGUGAUGGCUUGGCAUGGGAUAAAGGUUUUAUUGAUGGCAUUCUAGCGCCAAGCGAUGUGUCCCAAAUUCCCAAGAUCCCAUUAACCUGGCAAAAGCCGAUUGAUUGUCUACUCCAGUUACUGGCGAGCAGUAUAACCCUUUACACCUAUUCUCACUCAUGCGGUUGAUGGCCCUUGGGAUCGGCCAUGGAAGCUGUCUUUGCCUCCAAAUGUUACGCUGUUUAUUUGGAAAUGCUUGAAGGGUUUCGUCCUGUGUAAAAGCCGACCACUUGAGAGAGGGUGUAAUAUGGAUCUGGGGUAUGUUCGGUGUGGUGCGCUUGAGAGCCUUAAUCAUGUGCAUAUGUGGUGCCCAAAGGCUGUUGAGGUAUGAAAGUUAGUUGGUUUCGGUAUGUCUUUCAGUACUGUUCAGGACUUUAUUGAUAACCUGUUGGAAUUGUUGGACACUGAUCGUAGGGAUCAUGGUCUGCUAGUUACAUGGUCCUUAUGGUUCCACAGGAAUAUACGUUGCUGGAUGGCGAUUGAUGUGGGGGCUACUGCGAUUGUGGCGUUUGUUGUGCAAUUCCUGCAGGACAGGAAGGACGCCGAAGCCACCUGUAUGCAAGUUCAGCAGCCUCCUGCCGUUAACUGUUUGCGACAGUCUGCUUGAGUGAAGCCGACUCAGCCAUGGGUCAAAUGUAACGUCGAUGGCUCGUUAUUUCCGGAUACGGAAUUUUUUUGGCUUUGGGAUAAUUUUGCGUGAUCAUAAUAGGAUGUGUCUGAAGGGCAUCUCUAGUUUUUUUACUACUACAUAGGAACCACAUUUGGAUGAAGUCGUUGCCAUACGGGAAGCGCUUUCCUGGCUUCGUUCUAUGGGCAUUGAUCACGAGCGACUUUAUUUUCUGCAUCUAUUGCUUUUUGGGAUAGUCAUCCUUCAACUAUUUGUUUCGUGAUAGAUCUGGAUAUCUCUAAUGAGGGUGUUUAGGUUCACGUGUAUUGGAGAAGUCUAUUGGCUUGGUUUAGUUGCCUCGGAUUUCUUUUGAGUUUUCUAUUUCCCUCAUUUUAUUUUAUUAAUGAAGGCUUAAAUUUUUUUCUUAAAAACUAAUUUUCUAUUUUAUUCCUGAAAUAAUUUAUGUUAGAAAAUAAAUCAAAUAUUUUAGAAAAUGCUUUCAAGCAAGGACAUUGAUUUCAAUAAUAUCUUAUGUCCUUCAACUACUCAAAUUCCUUUGAAGUGUUUUGGAGUCUUUUAGUAUAAUAAAUAUUGAUACCCCACCGUUAGUAUCUAUACAGUGGGUAGUCAAAUACCUAUCCUUGAAGUAUCAAUAUAUCAAUAUUUGACCCAAAAGUAUCAAUAUUUGGCUUCAUUAUAUUAAUACCCUCUUUAUAUGUAUUGGUACAAUAGGUUACAAGGUAACUUUAAUGCUCAAAUUAAUUACUCUAAAUGGCUAAUUUUAUCCUACAAUUGCCCUUAAAAGUAUAGGAAUAUAAAAGAUGUCAUAGAGUAAGUGGGGGAGCCGAGAUAUUAAUCUUGUGGGGCCAAGUUAAAAUUAAAAGUGCUAUAUAACAGUCGAUUUAAGCAUAUAAACAAUUUAUUCAAAAGAAGCAAUAUUCCAACAUGACAAUCGAUUUAAACAUAUAAAAAAAUAUAUUCAAAAGAAGCAAUAUUGCAAAAAUUAAAACGAAAUAACUAUCAUUUGACUCGAUUAACCAUUUUUUAUUCCGUUUUUAUAGGAAUGCUUAUUGUUUCACAAGCUAUCAUUUGACAUAAUUUUAAACAAAGUGACCAAGGUUUUCUUCCUCCCCUUCACUUUGGCCGAAACUUACUAUAACAUCAUCUAACUAUUUUUGUUUCAUUUUUACACUUCUAACAAGUUAGAAACCAUCUCCUAAUCAUUUUUCAUCCAAAAACAUACACAUUUCACUUAAUUUUAUAAGCUUCCAAGUUCCAUUAAUAUCUUUUAAUGGAAAAUUUUAAUAUACUUGAUAAAACAAAAAACUAUUGGUAUAUAUAUGUAAAACAAGUUUCAAAUAUUCAAAAUCUAUGAAAAGUUUGAAGAAAAACAUAUCUUAGACUUCAAAUUUGGAGGAAAAAUGAUAAAUAACUUUUUUCUUCUUCUUUUCUUGCUAAGCACCAAUAUGAAGAAGAAAGAUGAUAAAAGUCUCUUCAUCUUUUCUUUUCUUUAUAUAUAUUAUUAUAUUUCUUAUAAACUAUUAUUAUGUUAAGUAAGCUAUUAAAUAAACAUCAAUUUAUUAUUUAACAAAAAUAUCAUUCAAAAGUCAUUAUGGGUAAUUUAGCUUCUUCAAAAAGAUUUUCUCUUUGUUUUUAUCAAGAAUAGUUUUUUAAUAUUAUUUUUAAUCCUAUCAAAUUAUUGGAAAGGUCUACUUAUAUUUUUAGGAGGUCUAUAAUAUAUAUACAAAAGGAAAAAUUGCAAAAAUCUUAAACUUUAGGGGGCCUACUUAUAUUUUUAGGAGAGCCAUGGUGUAAAUUUAUAAAUGACUAAAUUGAAAAAAACUUAAACUUGAGGGGUCGAUGGCCCUUGGGCCUCAAUGUGGCUCCGCUACUGCAUAGAGUUCAAGAACUCUCCAAUGAAGAUAAGAGAACAAGUUUCAAAAUUCAUGAGCUCAUAAUUCAAAAUUCUUUCUUUUAUUCUUCUCAUACUCAUAACUUACACAAUUAAUCCUUUAUAUAAUAACAUUUAACUAUAAAGGCCAAUUUUUCUGUAAAAUCCAUUUUUAUUAUUUUUACCCUAUAUUAUAGCUUUUCAUCUAUGAUGAGGACAACAACUAUAAAGUAUUAAAUUCAAUCUUUAUUAAAUUACUUUUCUAUAACAACCAUAGUAUUUUAUUAAAUGAAAAUAAUAUUUAACAAAUGAAAUUACAUUGGUAAGAUAUAAUAUAAAUCUCACUAAUUAUUAAUAAUAAUAAUUUUUAAUUUUUAAUUUUCAAAUUAAAAAAAUUUAAAUAUGAUUUAAACCUCAUAUGUUGUUAUUAGUGUAUAAUAACUACCUCUUUAUAACAUUUAAAAUUUUGACAGACAAAUAGAGCUAUUAUAGAUAGUGUUGGUUGUACCUAAACACUUAUUGAGCUUAGUUUCAUUUCUUUAUUCAAGUGUUUAUUUUAAUUUGUUAGAGCUUACACUUUGUAAACACUUACCUCUAAGAGGUUUCCUUGUUUACACAAUUUCGUCAAUUUGUAAAUUGGGAAGAUUUCUAGUUGAACAUUGAAAAGUUAGAGAGGUUUUAGUUGAUCCUUGAGCAUUAGAGGAGAAUGUUUUAAUUUAACCUUAGUAAAAGAUAACGAGUUGCAAAGAUUAUACAUUAGCCUUAAAAAUCUUUAUUAAUUGGGGUUUAGGUAGUGGAGAUAAAAAAAUAAUAUUGGAUCACUAUAGACCAUUGUAUGGAUUUAUUUUUAGUAUUUUUAGCCUUCAUUUGCUAAACUUUUAAAUAUCAUUUCAUUUGAUUUUUUUUUAGCCUAACAUAAACCUUCGGAGAUUUAAAGGAGAAACCAAUGUUUUAGUCACCUUGAUGAAGCUAAUAAGACUAGAUCCUUAAGUUUUUUUACAAUGGAAGCUUUCCUUAUCUCUGAAUAGGGCUUGAAACUCCUUAGCAAAAAUGGUUUACUUGGUAGCUAAGUUCUUGUCUAAAGGUCUUGUAACACACAAUUACUAUUAUUGACCCAUAAUUUGAGAAAGGUAGGAUUAAAUUGAAAAAAUUAGUAAAUUAUCGAAUUAGGACAUUUGAAAUUUUUAAUGGCUGAAUUGUGAUUAGUUGGAUUCCAAUUCCAAUUUAGUUACAUUAGAAUUAACUGGUUUUGUAGUAGGAGACAACAUGAUUAAGAAUGGAUGGUUGGGAGGGCCAUUGAGGAUCGUGCCUAGGGAAUAUAUAUAGGUGUGAGUAGAGAUAGAAUUUUCUCAAUUUUAUUUAUGAUUUUUUUCCUCUCCAUAGCACCAUCUUCUUCAACCGUUCUGAAGAGAAAGAGGAUGCAGUUGAAGGAAACUCUGCACGUCGUUGCAGUCGCAUGAGUUGAAGUUUAUUAGUAGAGAAAUUGAAGAACUACUAUCAGGACAAAUGAGGCUCUGGCAUCCGGACAUGCUAAGUUGACAAGGAUAAGGAAAGGAGGUGAGUUCCUACAUUUUGCCUUCUGGCUGAUAAAUGUUGUUGUGUGAAUUUGCUAGCUAUUUAUUGAUCAUUUAAGAAUAGAUAGCAGUUGAAUGGUCAUAUGGCAUGACGCAUGCAUAGAGAUAAUUUGUGUGGUAUGCAUGAUUAUUGUGUAACACCUUAUACUCGUAACUCACGCCGGGGCGAAGUACAAGGCAGUACUUAACUCGGUUUCACGCAUACAACCAAUCUCAAGUCACCGAGACUCGGUCCAAAUUAAAACUUUUUUAGUUUCUACUUUAAACUACUUAUUAUGGGCCUACGAGCCCAAAAUCUAUCAUUGAAAACUAUUCGGAACCAUUCCGGGUCCUCAACCCAACCUUAAGAAGUUUGCUUUUGAAACAGGGUACACGCCCGUGUAGAAGGGUAACACGCAUGUGUGGCUAUUUCGACAUGACCGUGCUGACAGCCCGUGUGGCUCACACGGCCUGAGCACUCAGGGACAUGCCCGUGUCUCGCACCCGUGUAGAAUUAAUUUCUAAUCCACACCUACAAGGGUUUCCACACGACCAGACACACACCCGUGUCAACAGCCCGUGUCCCUCACACGGCCACGACAUGCCCGUGUCCUAGCCCUUGUGCAAAAACCUGGACAUUCUCUUUCUGACGUCAGCAUCCCCCAAAAUGUCACACGGCCGUGGCACACGCCUGUGUACUAGGCCAUGGUACAUGCCCGUGUACCAGGCCGUGUCCUCUACACGGCUAAGACACACGGUCGUGUCUCUGCUCGUGUGUUUAAUACCAUGCACACUGACUUGAAAUUUAUACGUGUAGGGGACACAAGGCCAGACCACAUGCCCAUGGGGCCGAUCGUGUGUCACACACGGCUUAGACACACACCCAAGUGUCUAUCUGUGUGGACAUUAUAAGGCUAUUUACCAAGCCUCAUUGCCACCCUUGCAUACCUAUUUUCAUAUCAAUUCCAAAACAAGCAUAAUUUCCAAAAUCAAAUCAGCCACAAUAGACAUUCAUUCAACCAUGAAGAAGUAUCUUUUAUAAACUCAAAAUAAAUGUUAGCUAUCAUUCAAGGCUUAAUACCAAGCCAACACUUUUGGCCAAUUCUCAAAGACACAAAAUAAUAAGGUCUAGCCCUAUACAUGCCAUAUUCAAAAAUAUAAAUCCAACUAUACCGAAUGCUUCGACUGAUAGUGUGAUUGAUAUCUCUGACUUCUGGUGAUCCUUAAGUUAAUUAGGUGGCACUGUAAGGAAAUGGAAAGAAAAAGGGAGUAAGUAUAAAAGCUUAGUAAGUUGCAUAUAAAUAAAUAAACAACAACAAAUUCAUCAAUAAUCGUCAUGCUCAUAACACAAAAAUAGGCACAAGCAUAACUUACUCUCUACCCUCCAUACAAAUCACAUAAUAUAUAUUGAGCUCAUUCCUCAUACGUACUAAUAAGGGACCUGUAUCACUCACAACACGGUUAUACUUCCCUUAUUAACUCACAAUCAUAACUUUCACCGUUGCUCCAUUCGGAACACCACCGGAUAUUGCAUAAGCCUCAAACAUGGGGUAAGGUGCUGAUGCCAUGUCCCAGACAUGGUCUUACACUAGCUCUCGCAUAUCCGUGCCGAUGCCAUGUCCCAGACAUGGUCUUACACUGACACAUCUCGUAGCCAAUGCAUGUCCCAGACAUGUCUUACACUGGCUUACAUCUCGAGGCCGAUGCAUGUCCCAGAUAUGUCUUACACUAGCUCACAUAAUGUGGCCGAUGCAUGUCCCAGACAUGUCCUUCAUUAGCUCACACAAAUGGCCCUAAUGUUACGGUAUGAAUAUCCAGUUUAUUUCGUAUGUUCAACGGGAACCCUACUAUCUCUAUUAUUAAUAUACUUUCUCAAUUCCACAAUCAAACAAUUCAUGCUGUAUUAAUUCAAAUACAAUUCAACACAUACAUUAUUAAUGUCGUUAUAUUAUUUACAUACAACUUACCUCAGAUUACAAAAUACACACGACUAGUCAGUUUAGUCGAUUUGCUUGGCUUUCCCCCGAUCUAGGAGGAUUUGGAAAUUCUUGAUCUAUAUUAGCAAAAUACACUCAUUUAGUCACUAAAUAAAAUUAGGCAAUCCAAAAUUUACGUCUUAGGUAAAAUGACCAUUUGCCCCUAGACCUUGAUAAAAUGACCAUUUUGCCCCUAUAUUCGAAAAAUGAUUUUUACAAAAUUUCAUCAUAUUUCAAGCCUAGACAAACUCUUUUUACUCUUAUACCAACCCCAAAUUCUCAGUAUUUCACAUACUUAUCACCUAUUUUGCAACUUAUGCAAAAUAGUCCCUUUAGGUGUUUUCAUGCUAACACCUUUCACAAAAGUUGUUUAUGACACAACUAGGACUCAUAUUCUUCCAUAGAAACUCAACAACUAUCACAAAUGCAUUCAUGGAAAAACCCUAGACUCUUGUUUAUUAUGCACAACAAUCAUCUCAUUUGAAAGCUUAUGCUUCAAGGAGUCCAAAAAUGUAAAAAUCAUUAAGAGAAACUAUCAAAAUCACGUACUUGAGAGGGCUUAAAGUUGCUGAAAUUUUUCUGAAGCUUUCAAACCCCAACAAUGGCCGAUUUUAGGUCAAAGAGGAGAAAAAUAGAUGAAGAAGGUUAAUAUUAGGCUUUAGGGUAUUAUUAAAAUACAUAUUAUGACAUCAACCAACCUAACCCUUUGACCAAUUACCUAUUCUUGUCUCAUGGCCGGCCAAGCUCUUCUAAUAGGGUCUAAUUGCCCUUCAAAAUCCCCCAAUUUUGAUUCUCAAACAAAAUAACACCUUUAGCUAUCAAUUUAGGAUUUUUACACUUUAUGUGAUUUAGUCCUUUUUCAUAAUUGGGCUCACAAACGUCAAAAUUAACUUACCAAAUUUUUCAUGCACUAAUAUGUUCAUGCCAGAACAUCAUAAUAAUAAUAAAAUAAUCUUUUUAACUUCAAAUUUGUGGUCCUAAGACCACUAUUCUAACUAGGCCCUAAAUCGGGAUAUUACAUAUUGUAUGUAUGAUAUGGUACGGUAUAGAAGAGAAACUAUCAAUGAGUUAGAUGAAUAUAAGAUUGGGAAAAGGUAAUUGUACGGUGUUGCUAAGUGCACUUGUGAUGAGCAAAGAUCUGAGCCUUGCGGAGGGGACACCACGAUGUUCAAGCAUCAAGGUUAGGACGGCGAACAGUGGAAUGGACAAAGGGAAGGGAGAAUAAAAAAUGGAAUUCCUUUAAGAUACAGCCAUUCGGGAUUGUUGGGAGUAAACCGUGAUGUGCAAAGCUCCGGCCGUUGAAGGUGGGACACUUAGGUGUUCAAGCAUCAAGGUAGUUACAAGAUGAAUCGAUGUCGAUAGUUAUAAGGUUCCAUAAAGCAACAUUGUGACAGCGGUCAGCAGGCUCUAUGGGGGAACAUUGCGACGGCGGUAUGGUCCUUCGAGGUGAUACCUCAUAGAGGUUUAAGGUGUAAGACCAUAGCUUGUCUAUGGCAACCAAUAGAGCCCGUUAAGAUAGUAAAUAGGGGGUAGCCCGUCGGGACAAUAAACACGGGGUAGUUCGUCAGAAAAAUAAACACAGGAUAGUUGACCGCCUAUAAACAUCUUAUUGUUUAUAGUAAAAAUAUCACACCAAAAAUCUAUUAAAUUAAAUCGAUGGUCUCUGCAAGCGUAUAGGUCAAAUUGUAAUAUAGUAUUGUGUUACAAUAGAACACUAGUAAGUAUUCCAAAGAUUGUACCCAAGGGAUUGCAGAUUGGAGAAAUUAAUGUUAAAUUAAUUACAAAAAAUAAUUACUAAUCUAAUUGAGUCACAAAUUAGUAAUGGGAAUCCAAAUUAAUAUUUCAAUUAAACUAAUUAAAUUAAAUUAACCUAAUGGACUUUCCUAUUCCUAGUAUCAACAAUGUGAGCCUCUAGCAUAUGAUCGAUUAAAUCCCUAAUUAAUAAAUAGAAGAUUAACUAAUUCCAAAAUUUGAGUUUUAAUGUGAAUUAGUAUUUAAUUAACUAGUAUUACCUCCUGACCUUUACUAAUUAAUUAAUCGGCGGAUACUCACUUAUCUUCUAACCUCACUUUCUUCAUCAGGAUAAACUACGAUUUACUCGGCUCAACUUGUCUCCCAACCUCAUCUAACCUAUGAUAACUUAUUAGGGUUUUCAAACCUAAAAGUUUAAGAACAUAUAAUUUAUACCAACUAAUCUAUUAUAAACUUUUAUUCUUUUGUUAAUUAAUCGAGUUGAUGAAUUAAUCAGUUCAAUAAAAAAAUCAUGUAAUAUAUGAAUAAAUAUUGGAUCUAGAGCAAUCUGUACUUGCGAUUGUCUUCACGUUGGAAUAGAAAAGUUUCGACUACACGAACAUUAAAAGAAAAAAAAACUAAAACUAAAUAAAAAAACUAUCUGUCUAGGUCUGCUUACAAUUUCGGUGACCCUAAGGCGUCUAUAUUUAGGCUACAAGCUCCUUGGUGACCCCUUAACCUAGAUACACUUUGGGAUUCUAAUAAAUAAAACAUUAUGAUAAAGCUAGGGUUCAAAUAAGGAAAUUUCCAAAAAUUUUCUUGCAAAUAAGUCAGCUUCAUUUUGGCCUACCAUCGUCCCCACGCCAAGGAAGAGCUCGUCGGGACAUCGCCUCAUCAAGACAUGGAAGGUCCUCACAUUGGGAUGUCACAGGUUACUUCAACUUGGUAUGUUUCUCGGUAUCGUGUCACACCACAGGAUGCUUGUAUCCAUUACGACCUUCAUUCCUUGGAUUCACGGGCCUGAAAUGACUUCCUGCAUAUUUAAUUAACCUAUUAGAACUUCUCGAGACCGGAGUAGGUCGUACGAGUCAUCGUAGUAGUAGAAAAUGCGUAAAAACAUUUAUUUUUUUAAGUUGUAGUUCCUAACCUACUAAUAUUGGAAAUGCAAUAAUUAUAUAUAAAAUGCCAAGAAAACAAGUUUGUUAAGUGUAGAAAUGACCUAAAAAUACUAGUACAAGUGAAGUAAUGUCACUUACCCCAUAGUUAAGUCUUUGCUUAUCCAAAAGCAAACUAAAAAAAAUUAAAACAGACACUAAAAUUGAAAACAAAAAAUAAACAUGCAAUAAAUGUACUUAAGCUAGCUUGGUACAUGAGAUUAGAUCGGAUCAUCAACACUAGGAAUAUUUGUCUAAAUAUAUCUAGCUAGAAAUUUAAAUAAUUCAAAGUUAUUUAUACCUAAAUAGAUUAGUUCAAUAAAUUACAAAGUAAACAAGUUAAAGAAAAUUAAAUAUAUGUCUCCAUCAAAAUGUAUAUACGAAUAUAGUAUUUAUUUUUAUAUGGUAUAAUUAGUUUAAUUUUUUUUCAUACUCAAUUUAUUUUUAUUCAUGCUUUGAACUCUAAUGCAGUAAUAUUUCUCCGAUAAUCUCUUAUGAUUUUUUUUUAUUUUUUUCUUUUCUUCUUAUUUUUAUUUUUAUUUGUGCCAAUAUGAUAUAUGUUUUUCUCGAGUACCUUUAAUAAGGGUUAUACUAGUCAUAUUGCAUCGUUUCAAUAACCAUGGAUUCUACAGAGUAUUUUCUUUUUAAUUCAAACAUCCUAUACUUUUACAAAUUUAAUUACUUAUUUGUAUCUACCUUUAUCUCUUGGUAUGUAACACCCCAUAAUAUUAUUUCUGCUUUUGUGAAAAUGUGACACAAUUGAGUAUUUGCUUCAGUAGUUAAGUGUUUUGGGUGUGUGAGAGGUCCCAAGUUCAAGCCCUAGCUUUGGAAAAUUUUGUUAUUUUUGGAAUUAAGCCUUACCUCUGCUCAGUGGGCUUAUAUUAAACCGUACUAGGUGUGUACUCGAAAUGCAGAAAUUGAGGUUUGGGCAAAAGUUGAAAAUGGCCACUGUCGACACUACACGGGUGUGUGGUUGCCCGUGUGGUAGGCCGUGCAUAAGACACAGCCGUGUGAUGGCCAGGGUGUGGCUAUGUGGGCCACACAGGCUUCGCCAAAUUGGAUGUGUAGGCCACACGGGCGUGUGAUAUCUAGGCCAGGCCGUAUGAUCCACACGAUCAAGGCUAAUAUGGGCGUGUUGGCUACACGGGCUUGUGUGCCUAUACGGUCAAGCCACAUGGGCAUGUGGGCUUAUUUGUCAAAAUUUUUCCCUAAGGUUGCAUGGGUCGUCCCAACCUACUGUGGUCCUACUGUAGUGUCGGUAUGGGCUAACUAAACCCUAAACUGUGUGAUCUGGUUUAUUGAUGUUCUAUACUGAGCAUGUUAACACUGUAUAUGUCUGAUUACUAAUUCGUAUGACUGUCUGAUAUUUGUUAAUAAAAGCAUGUUAAGCAUGAUUAUCUGUUAAUUCUGUAUGUAUGAUCUGUUACUGCUAUUGGGGGUAGGAUGAAAUAUAUGUUUUGGAGGAAGUGUUCUGAAAGGCAGAUUAUGCCUAUUAUCUGGCAGCAUGGCUGCACUAUAUUUGAUAUGUGCAUCGGUACAACAUGGUGUGUAGGGCUAGGUGGUUGUUUUAAACCUCACAUGGUGUGCAAGGAUGGUCGGAGAUGGUGUGUAGAGGAUGGGGGUAGGAUAUCUAAUUUCUGAUUCUGAUCUGUAUAUCUGCACCUGUAUCUUAGAUGAGCUUAGUCCCGAAUCUGCAUCUGACUAAUUUUGAGUUUGUUGUUUAUGUGCAUGCUUAAUUCUAUAGGGUUACACACUCAGUUUACAUAAACUCACCCAUUUUUGUUUAAUCUGCAUAGGUAAUCCACAAAGUUAGGCGGAUCAGUGCAGCGGAGCCUCUCAGUGACCAUAUGUUCGAACUGGUUAUGAUUACAAUUUAAUUUUUAUGUUCUGGUUUAAUCUGGGUUUUAUUUUAUGUAAUUCAGAUUUUAUGGACUGUUUGUUUUAAUUCGGGAUAGACUAAAAUUCUAUGAUUUUAAAAUUACUAAAUGUGUUAUAACCUGAUUUUUACCAAAACCAAAGGUUUUACAGAUAUUGAACCAUUUUCUAAACACGAACAAUUUUACUCAAAAUAGGCUUCCGCUAAAAUGAUAUGUUUUAAGACAAGUGAACUAAUUGAAACAUGAUUUGAAUUUAACGAAAGUAAGAAAGGGUUAUGAGUUUUGAGGUUUUUAUCAAGUUAGACGUUUCCAAAAUCCCUUCCAUGUGGCAUCUCCAGAUUCGGCCAUAACGUCUAGGCCGGGUUUGGGGUGUUACAUGGUAUAUUUAAUCACUUAUUCCUAUUUAUAGUUUAAUAAAAUUAACUAAUUAGUCUAAAUAUAAACAACCUAAAUUAUUUAAUUUCAGGCUAAAUUUAAAAAUUAACAAACAAUCUAGGUAUAUGCUCUUAACCAAUCAUUUGUAUUUCUACAAGCUCAAGCACGCAUAUAACACACAGAAUUUAAAAAAAGUAUAAAAGACUAUAAACAAAACAAAACAACUGAAAAUUUUAAAAAUUUAAAAAUUUUCCUAUGUCACCCCCAUACUUUAUUUGGUACAUUGUCCCUAAUGUGCUAUACAAAAAUGAAAGAAAGAGGUUACCCGAUUAGCAUGAUAUGUGCAAUGCAAUUGGUGGGACUAGUUCUCCUUUUGGUUUUGGCUCGAGAUUGUAGUAUCGUAAAAAAAAUAUGGGGUUCCUAAAAAGAAAAGCUAAACAUAUAAUAUAUAUAAAAUAAAAUCCUAAUUAAACCAAAUAAAUAAAAAUCACUCAAAAAUCUAAAUAGGUCUUAAAGAUAUAAAUCCAAAAUAAAAAUAAAAAUGUUUUAGAAUUAGUCAAAAUCAAGUUCCAACUCCUCAAUCAUUGGUACUUUGCCCCUCUCAUACUCGUCGACACUUUAGUAACCCGCCUUCCCGAAGUGUGGACUAGGCUAUGAUGGCUUGGAUCGUGAAUCACCAUGCCCUUCGUCACUGAGCAGUCUAGUCAAAAUGCUUGCUCAUAAUCAGGUGUCACGACCAGGGUUUCAUCCUCAUCCUCGUCAUCAUCAUCUUCCUUCGUUGUCCACCUCGUUCAGCAGUGAAAGUCUCUCGAGCAUAUUUGGGAGUAUCUUUUCCUGGCUGAUUCAAUUAUGUCUCUCUUUUCUCUCAUCAAAUAUGCUAGAAACACAAAAUUAUAUAGACUUUUCAGCACCUUUUAAGCCCUAAAUCAUGCAGUUUCGUAGUAAUUUCUGUUGAAAUUCAUACUUUAAUUAUAAAAUAAUUAAUUUGCACUAAAAUUCAUAACAUAUUGAAUUCUAACUAUCUUUAUGAUAAACUUACAAAAAAUUGAUUUAUUUUUGAUUGUCUUGUACAAAUGGUGAAAAUCGACUCGGCAAUCACCUCAAGAGGCUUGAACUGUUGGGGCAAUUCUUGCACCAAAUGAAUCAAGAGCAUGACUAAUUAAUUUUCCAGCCAUGGAUGGUCCAAAAAUAUUUAUUGAACAAACUUUAAAUUUAAUUUUGAUCCAACAUUAAUUGGGUUAAAAAUUAAUUAUAAGUCUAAAGAAGAGAAAGUGGCCCAGUUGUGCUAAGUGAAGAGAACUAAUCUAGCAAGGAUUGGGUAGCCCAAAACCGUCCUUGUAGCUAACCCAAUCAAUUUAUUUAGCUAAUUUUAUUAAUUUAAAAACAACCCUCAAAGUUUCCCUUAAUUUCAUUCAAAACCCUCUUCUUUCCAUGCCUUCUAUUUUUAACCCCAAGCUAAAAAUAACAAGUUUUGAAACAAUCAACCCUUGCUCAAAGCAUGGCCGGCCAAUAGAGAGGAAGGGGAUGAUAAUUAUUUGCUAUUUUUAGCAACUAUUCCCACCUAUAAAUACCCUUAUUCCCUUCCUCUUUUCACACACCAUUCAUUCCCACACCUCUCUCUUUCAAUCACCUUUUCUCUUCCAUUCCCUUCUUUGUUUUCCCACUUUUCUUGUUUCAUUCCCUUUCCGGUUUCCCUGUAACAGCCCGAUUUAUACCCUAAUCAGAACGGUAGUUUGUGAUCAUGAAUCUCAGUUAGAAAAAUAUUUAAAAAUUAUUUUCUGUGUUUAUUUUGUGUGAAUUUAUAUUUGUGAAAUUUUCGUGAUUUAAUUUUAUCGUUUAGGUGUCCGAUGAAAUAAAAGGACUUAAUCGCGAAAAAUAAAAUUAAGUGGUAACUUGUAUAAGGGCCGAAUUACUAAUGGUUUUCUAAUUUGGAGUCUUUACGAUGAAAUUAUUCCAUUAACAUGAUGUUGGACGGUAAUGGACAUAUGCUAUAUAAUAUUAUUAUUAUUUCAUUACGGGUAGUUAAGUAAAAUAGUAAUAAGUUAAUAUAUAUGUUAAUAUAUCAUAAAAAGAUAAGCUAUAAUCACAUUAUUUUUAUUUUUUAUUGCACUGAUUAUAAACCAAAAUAAAAAGAAAGAACAAGAGCUAGGUUCGGCCAAAUUUCACAUCUCGAUUCAAGGUUCGUUCUUAGUCGAUUUUUGAUAAUUUUUACAUUUUUUAGAUCGUUUCUUCGAGUACUACAAAACCCAAGUUUUAAUUUUUGAUUUUGAUGAAUAUUUUUAAAUUGUGCCAUUGUUGAUAGUUUAUGAUUUUUGUUGUUUGAUAAUGAAAAAUGAAAGAUAUGUUUUAGAUUAACAUGUUUUGUAUUGGAGUUUUUGAUGAUUUUGAAUAAUUAGGACUAAAUUGAAAAAAUAAUAAGUUGAGGACUAAAAUGUGAAAUUAAUAAAAUAUAUGGGCUUGUAUAGGUAUGGGUACCGUUCGGCCUAAUAUGAGUGCUUUGAAAUUUUGUGUAUUUUGUGUUUUGUGCAAUAGGGACUAAAUUGUAAAAAUUGUAAAUGUUAGGGUAAAAUGGGAAUUUGCCUAUUUAUGUGUUUUUGGACUAAAUUGAAUGAAAAUUUGUUUGAAUAAUCUUAAUUUGAAUAGUUUUAGAUCAAGAACCAAAGAAAUCGGAUUUGGACCGGGGAAAAACGAAAGUUGUCGACUAGCAGCCCCGUCCCGUUUUACGACGUCCGAGGUAAGUUUAUAAGCAAAUAAAUGUCGUAAAUUUUAAAUCUAUGAGAAUUUAUAAUGCUGAUUUGAAUUUUAUGAGUUUGUAUAAAUAAUAGCCGAAUGUGAAAAUGGUUGGGAAUUAUGUUUACAAAUACGAUUCGACCGAGAUACGACGUCCGAAAGCCCCGUAUGAACCUUAGGAAUAGCUAGGAUACAUAUGUCAUGACAUAGGAUUUUGAUAUAUGUGUGUGAGUAAGACCAUGGCAUCGAUUUGUGAUUUCGAUAUGUGUUGACGAGUAAGACCCUGUCUGGCAUCGAUAUGUGGCUACAUGUAAGACCACGUCUGGGACGUUGGCAUUGUAUGAUUUAUGUGAUUAUCAGAGUGUCCUAUCCUAUUCCGAAUGGUUCAUCGGGCAAAGGUAAAUCGUGUACAGAUUGUGUAAUACGAGCUCAAUGGGCAGGUAUGAAUUAACUUGAUAUCUACUUGAGAUAAGGUAAGAAAGUAAUAUGGAUAUGUGUUGUAAAUCAUGUACAAUGCAAAAGAAGAAUUCAUAUGUAUUUGGUAUGUGUAUUCGCCUUGUGAAUGAAUAAUUUCUAUAACAUUGAAAUGUCACUUAAUAUGGGUUUAUAUGAUUUGUAUAUUUGGCCACUUAGGUAUUAUUAUACAUGAUAUGUCAUUUGAUGAUUCUUAAGUUGCAUAAAAGAGUGUACGGAUGUGUGGUUUAUUAUGACUAUUUGGUUUGGAAGUUGAUUUAUAGUGUGUUAAAUGAUUAUAUAUAUAUUCGGCUUAGGUGGAUAAUAGUCCAUGAAAAAUGUAUUAUUUAUAGAAUUUGUAAGUUUGAGGUCAAGCAGGGAAAUGUUAAUGCAUUUCGUUUAGUUAAUAUGUCAAUUGUGAUAUUGAGUUGUUUAUUUGCUUAUGACUUACUAAGCUGUGGUAGCUUACUCUGUGUAUUAUGUUACUUUGUUUUAUAGAUUUUGAAGUCAAGCUACAAGCUCGGGGACUGUCAGCCAAGCUCAUCACACUAUCUACUAUUUUGGUACCUUUAAGCUAAACUUAAAUUAUGGCAUGUAUAGGCUGGUUUUGGGGUUAGUUAUCUUGGAAAUGAAUGUAUAUAUUAGCCAUGCGAAAAUUGCAUAACUAUCUUGCUUUGAAUCGGUUAUGUUUGCUUAUGGUUUCAGUUUAUUUUAGCUAAGGUAUUUUAUGCUAUAAAUGAAUGUUAUUUGUGAUAUGUGCUUGGUUGUGUAUUAAAGUUGAUUAAUGACUUGGAUGUGGUAUGAACAUAUUGACCAUAACAUAUAUACCUAGGUAUAUUCAAAGGUUUUGAAUAUGAUUCCUGUUAAGUUAAAGUAUAUGAUCAUUCAGUUGGUGUGCUUUAAUAAGGUAUAAAUAUGUAGUUUAACAUUAAAGAUCAAAUAGUCAUACUCGAAUAUGAGAUAAAUAUGCUUUGAUAUGUUAUUACUUUGUAUGUAAGAUUCAUGUUUUGAGUAGGUAUAAAUGAGAUGGUUAUGACCAACUGUAUAUGUUUAUAUAGCUAUAUAAAUGCAUAAUAAAUUGACUUGACUUGUGGUUUAGCACUUGUCCUUAUUAAUAUUCUAGUAUAAUGUGAUUUUGAAAUAGUCAUGUACGUGAUCCUAGGAUAUAUAUAUGUAUUAUGGUCUUAAAUUUGUAAUUUGGUAAAGAUAAAAGAUGAUUAUAUUUUGAGCUGAAAAGUGUGUGGCCUAGUUAGCUUUGUGGAUGCUAUAUAUAUGUGUACAUUUUGUUUAAUCUAAGCCCACGGUUGUAAAGGUAACUGUGUUAACUGAAUAGAGGAAAGGUGAAUAUGAUUUUGUAUAGGUCUUUAAGGGUACAUUAUUUUAACAUUUUGGUUGACUUACUUGAGUAGAUUAAUUGUUGAGCUAGAGGUUUUAUAAAUAUAUAUAUACUCAUGAAUUAUAAAUAUUGUAAAUUGGCAAACAAAUACUAAUAUGCAAUAUUUUAUUAUAUGAAAUGAAAUGACGUAUAUUUGGUUGCAUAAGGUAUGCGCAUAACAUUUGCAUGGAUAUAUAAUAUUUUACAUUAGCAUUGUUCAAAAGUCAUAUAAGUUAAGAUAUACAUUUUUGAUAAGUUAAUGAAUUGAAAUAUAUACUUGAUUAGAAGUUUAUUGUCUAAUGUUCAUAUGUUCUUGUUGGCAUUAUUGUAUAUAAAAUUCAGGAAUCAUUUGUAAUAUUGAAUUGAAGUAUGAUAAAUUUUGUUUUUACCAAUUUUUAUUAGAUAACGAAUAAUGGAAUUUGAUCUGAAUUAUAUUUUGAUCGGUAAUACCUUGUAACCCUAUUCCGAUGACGGAUGUGGGUUAGGGGUGUUACAUUUUAUGAGUAUCAGAGCUACGAUUUAGUCGGUUCUAGGACUAACGUAGCGUGUGUGAGUUUAGCUAUACAUGCCAUAAUUAUAUACUGUGAUAGUGUGAUGACUUCUGAUAUUUGAAAUGUGUUUUCAUAUAGUAAAUGAAUUCUGACAGAGCUGUAGCUGAUGAUGUCGAGAGUGUAGCGCCUGCUCCCGCGCAAGGGACAGCACCGGUUGAUUCUCGACUGAUUCCGAGUAAUCAAGAAAUUGAGGUUAAACAAGACUUCUAUCAAAUGAUGAAUGACUAGUUUACUCAAUAUAUUCAGACUAAUCUGACUGGACAACAACCUCCACCCCUGAUUGAUCCAUCUUUGAUGCCUACGGUACCUCAAGUAAGUGAUCCAUUGAGAUUGUAUAAGGCACCUGUUGAUAAAAUCAGAAAACAUGAGGCUAAAGAGUUUAAAUCUACGGAUGAUGAUGAUGUUGAGCGGGCUGAGUUCUGGCUUGAUAAUACUAUCUGUGUGUUUGAUGAGCUGUCUUGUAGCCCAGAUGAAUGUUUAAAGUGUGCCAUAUCUUUACUUCGAGACACAGCAUAUCACUGGAGAAAUACCCUAGUAUCACUGGUUUAGAGAGAGUGGGUGACCUGGGAAUUCUUUUAGACUGAGUUUCGUAAGAAAUAUAUUAGCCAAAGAUUUAUUGAUUAGAAGUGUAAAGAAUUUCUGGAGCUGAAACAGGGUAGGAUGACUGUAACAGAGUAUGAGCGAAAAUUCGUGAGACUCAGUCGAUAUGCCCGAGAGUGUGUUUCUACCGAAGCCAUAAUGUGUAAAAGAUUUGAAGAUGGACUGAAUGAAGACAUUAAAUUGUUAGUUGGCAUACUUCAGAUAAAAGAGUUUUUGGUACUUGUUGAGUGAACCUGCAAAGCUGGGGAGCUCGAGAAAGAGAAAAAGAAAGUUGAUUUUGAAGUAAGAGACUCGCAUAAGAGAUCAUUCAACAAGUCAGUCCAGUCAGCACCAAAGAAGUUUUGAGAUGAUUUCAGUCGUUCAAAAGCCACUUCGGGUUAUUCUCGAUGAGACCAGAAUAGACCACCAGUGAGUUUGAGAGCUACCUUAGUAGCCAGUAUGAGUAAUGUCAGAUCAAAUCAGCCCGAGGAUAAACACUGUGGUAAAUGACAUCCUGGUAGUUGCAGAUUACAUGAUCGGGCCUGUUUUAAAUGUGGAUCGACAUAUCAUUAUAUUCAAGAUUGCCUAAGGUUAGCUGACGAAAACCCAGUACAGAACACGAGAUCGAGUAAUACUGCGGCUCGAGGUAGACCACCGAGAAAUGCGGGUAAUGCGAGUGGCAGUCAAAGAGGAAAUAAAGACAUAGCAGUCAAAUUAGAGGCUCGUGCACCUGCCAGAGCCUAUGCCUUUCGUGAGCGAGAGGAGGCUUCAUCCCCAGAUGCUAUUACUGGUACAUUCAAUCUUUAUGAUACUAAUGUAAUUGCAUUGAUUGUUCCUGGUUCUACUCAUUCUUAUGUGUGUGGGACAUUAAUAUUCAGCAAGACUCUACCUAUUGAGUCUACUGAGUUUGUGAUUAGAGUGUCAAACCCCUUGGGUCGGUGUGUUAUGGUUGACAAAGUGUGUAAGAAUUGUCCCUUGAUAGUUCGAGAUCUGUGCUUUCUAGCUGAUUUGAUGUUACCACCAUUUGAUGAGUUCGACAUAAUUCUAGGUAUGGACUGGUUGACAUUAUAUGAUGCUGUUGUGAACUGUAAGAGAAAGACCAUUGAUCUACGAAGUCAGAAUGAUGAGAUUGUUCGGAUUGAAUCUAGUGAUUUGAAGGGGUUACUAGUAGUGAUUUCUUCGAUGUUAGCUCAGAAAUAUGUGAGAAAAGGCUGCGAGGCUUACUUUGCAUAUGUGCUUGAUAGUAAAGUGGCCGAAAGGAACAUUGAAUCAGUACCUGUUGUAUGUGAGUAUCUAGAUGUGUUUCCUGAAGAAUUACCAGGUUUGCCACCGAUACAGGAGGUAGAGUUUUGUAUUGAGUUAAUGCCUGGAACGAAUCCGAUAUCCAUAGCUCCGUACAGAAUGGCACCAAUAGAAUUAAAAGAACUAAAAGAUCAGUUGCAAGAAUUGACAGAUCGAGCUUUCGCACAACCGAGUUUCUCUCCGUGAGGUGCACCUGUGUUGUUUGUGAAAAAGAAAGAUGGAACUAUGAGAAUGUGCAUCGACUAUAAACAGCUCAAUAAGGUGACUAUAAAGAAUAAGUAUUUGUUUCCACGGAUUGAUGAUUUGUUUGACCAGCAGAAAGGAGCUACAGUAUUUUCAAAGAUAGAUUUGAAAUCGGACUACUAUCAGUUGCGAGUUAAAGACUCCGAUGUACCAAAGACUACUUUUAGAACGAGGAAUGGACACUAUGAGUUUCUGGUUAUGCCAUUCGGACUCACUAAUGCACCUGCUUUUUUCAUGGAUUUGAUAAAUCAGAUCUUCAAACCAUAUUUGAAUCGGUUAGUGGUUGUGUUUAGAGAUGAUAUUUUGAUCUACUCUCGUGAUGAAGCUGAACAUGCUAAACAUUUGAGACUUGUAUUACAAACUUUACGAGAUAAUAAGUUGUAUGCAAAAUUCAAUAAACGUGAGUUCUGGUUAAAUGAAGUCAGUUUUGUGGGUCAUGUGGUAUCAGCAUUGGGUAUUCGGGUUGAUUCAAGCAAAAUUUCAGCUAUACUUGAUUGGAAACCUCCGAGGAAUGUUUCUGAAGUCUGAAUUUUCUUAGGACUUGCUGGUUAUUAUAGACAGUUCGUGAAAGGUUUCUCUAUGGUUACAGCUCUGAUGACGAAGCUAUUGCAGAAGGAUGUCAAAUUCGAGUGGUCAGAAAAAUGCCAGAAAAGCUUUGAUCAGUUGAAAGCCCUUUUGACUGAAGCUCCAGUGCUAGUUCAGCCAGAAUCGGGUAAAGAAUUUGUUAUUUAUAGUGAUGUAUAUUUAAAUGGUUUGGGCUGUGUUUUGAUGCAGGAAGGAAAAGUUAUAGCUUAUGCCUCGAGAUAGUUGAAGACACAUGAAAAGAACUAUCGGACACAUGACGUAGAAUUUGCAGCCAUUGUGUUCACACUAAAAAUUUGGCGUCACUAUUUGUUCGGUGAGAAAUGUCAUGUUUAUUCUGAUCAUAAAAGCUUGAAAUACUCGAUGACUCAGGAAGACCUAAAUUUAAGACAACAUCGAUGGUUAGAAUUGCUAAAAGACUAUGAGCUUGUGAUUGAUUAUCACCAAGGAAAGGAUAAUGUUGUUGCUGAUGCUUUAAGUAAAAAAUCACUGUUUACUUUACGUGCAAUAAACGCGCAUAUAGCUAUGUCUGAUGAUGGUUUGAUAGUAGCUAAAUUGAAAGGAAUACCAUUAUUUAUUCAACAAAUUUGUGAUGCCCAGAAGGUUGAUAAUGAUUUGAUCACAAAACAAGCUCAAUGUGGGAUAGAUGCUGAUUCAGAAUUCAGAGUUGAUGCUGAUGACUGUUUAAGAUUUAGAAACUGAAUAUGUGUUCCGAGGAAUUUAGAGUUGAUUCAGAUGAUUUUGAUUAAAGCUCAUAGCAGUCGGUUAUUGGUUCACCAAGGUAGUACAAAGAUGUAUAAUGAUCUGAAACAGCUUUAUUGGUGGCAUGGUAUGAAAUGAGACAUUUUUGACUUUGUUGUAAGAUGUUUAGUCUGUCAACAAGUAAAAGCUGAACAUCAGGUGCCUUCAAGAUUACUAUAGCCUAUCAUGAUACUUGAGUGGAAGUGGGAUAGAGUCACGAUGGAUUUUGUAUCUGGUUUUCCAUUGACAACGAGCAAGAAGGAUGCAAUUUGGGUUGUUGUGGAUAGAUUGACUAAAUCAACUCAUUUUGUUCCGAUACGUAUGAACUACUCGCUAGAUAAGCUGGCUGAAUUUUAUGUUUCUUAGAUUGUGGGAUUACAUGGUGUGCCUAUAUCUAUUAUUUCAGAUAUAGAUCCAAGGUUUACAACGCAAUUUUGGAAGAAACUGCAAGAUGCACUCGGUACAAAAUUAUAUUUCAGUACUGGCAGUCUGAGCGAAUUAUUCAUAUACUUGAGGAUAUGUUGAGAUGUUGCAUUCUCGAGUUUGAAGGUACAUAGGAAUGAUACCUACCUCUGAUUGAAUUUGUAUAUAAUAACAGCUACUAGUCAAGUAUCAAAAUGCCACCUUAUGAUUCUUUGUAAGUCUUAAAUGUCAUACGCCAUUGUACUAGACUACGCUCAGUGAAAAUAAGAUACACGGGGUUGACUUGAUCAGAGAAACUAAACAGAAAGUGAAGGUAAUCCGUGAAAGUUUGAAAGCAGCGUCAGAUCGUCAGAAAUCUUAUGCUGACUUGAAACGUAAAGAUGUAGAGUUUCAGAUCGGAGAUAAAGUCUCACCAUGGAAGAAAAUACUCAGAUUCAAUCAUAAAGUGAUAAACCGUAAUAUAUACAUAUUUUUACCCCAUGCUUAACGCAUUUUAUGGAUGAUUUUCCCUUAGAAUUGGUGAAUUCGAUGCUCCUAAUGCUUUAAUUUCAUGUUUUAUACUUAGAAGAGCAUAGGAGAGUGAAAGGAAUGAGAAACGAGACAAAAACGGAGAAAGUGGGCCAAAGUAUGAAAUCAACACGGAUUGGACAUCCUCACACGGGCAGACCACAUGGCCGUGUCAAUUUGGUAGAUUUGAAGUACGAUUCACACGGGCGCGUCACAUGGGCGUGUCCCUACUGAGCCCAAGUUGAGUCUAAUUCGGAAAAGGCUAAUUUUGAGGGUUUUUAGGCAUUCUAAAGCCUAUAAAUACGCCUUAAAGGAAGAGAAAAAAGGAGGGCAUGGAGAGGAAGGAAGGAAUUACUCGAAGGAAGCCGAUUGAUCCAUCUCAGAAGCCGGAGUCACCAUCAAGAUUGAAGAUCUCCCCUCAAUUUCCCUUCAGGAGUUUUGGGUUUUCUUUAUAUUUUGAAUUCGUUAUUCUUCUGAGAUGUUUUCCUUUUUAGUUAUGAACUAAAUCCCCUAAAUACCUAAGGGGAAUGAAACCUAAGACGAAUCUUGUUAUUAUUUUCUAAAUUGUAUGAUAAAUAUUUAACUUAUUCUUAAUUAUGUGUUCUUAAUUCUUGUUUUGAUAUUCCGGAAUACUGAUUCAAGAUAAGCUCUUAUUUAGAGGAGGAAUAGACCUUGCCUAAGAGUACAUUUGUCAUAAUUAAGCGGAGUUGUUUGCGCGCCUAGACAUAGGGUGACAAGAUUUUGCCGGAUUAGGGUGAAACCUAAUAAGGGGAUCCAUAGAUCGAGUUAAUGCAACCCUAGGGUGUUAAUUAGAGAAAAGUCUCAAUUAUUCAAUAUAGAUAUUAGAUGUUAUUAGUUUUUAAUAGGGAUAAUAACAUAACUUAGGGAUCUCCACAGAACAAGUUAAAUGAAUAAAUCGUCCGAUUCGGAGCCAGAAUAACUAGUACAGUCUAGGUGGAAUUUUUCUUAGGUAUUGUCUUAAUUCAAUCAUUUUCCAAAAGUAAUACCCCAAUUCCAGUCUCUGUGAAUUCUUAGAUUAGUUAAUUAGUUAUUUAAAACAAAACUCCCUUAUUCUUAGGCUAGAUAAUAAAAAGACAGUCAUUACUAGUACUUUUAGUUCCUUUGGGUUCGAUAAUCUGGUCUUGCUAAAACUAUACUACUGUUCGAUAGGCACACUUGACUGCAUCGCAAUAAUAGUUAGUUUCAAGAACGAAUAAUUAUAAAUAUUUAAAACUUACCUAUCAUGAAAAUCGCGAUCAUAAAGGCAAAGUACCACACUUGAGUCACUAGUGACAUGUCACUUGUAUCCUAUUCUGUUCCUAAUGUUCAAUCGAGAAAUUUCUCAGUUUUCGAUACUUGUUAAUUUCAUUCAAUAUUCAGCCACAUUUCAUAAAAGAUAAUAAAAUGUGAUAACAUAAGUAAAAACGAUGCAUUAUUUACAUACAAACUUACCUCGGUGCAAAAUAUGACGAAUUUGCAAUUUAGUCUACAACCUUUUCUUUUCCCCGAUCAAGGUCAAUUCCUUAUCUUUCUUGAUCUAUAAUAACACAUUUAACUCAUUUAAUACUCACAUUAUUCAAUAUAGUCCAAAAGUCACACUAUGGAAAAUCUACAUUUUUGCCCCUAAAAUUUUACAUAUUUACAAUUUUUCCCCUAAGUUCGUAAGAUGAAAAGAACUUAUUUUUCUCAAAUUCUAAGCCUAGCCGAUUCAUAUUCCCUCUUAUAACAGCUCAUAUUUUUCACUAAAUCACAUUUUCUAUGCAUAAUUUUACAAAUUUUACAAAUAGGUCCUUUUAUAUAAUUUCAUCAAAAAUCACUUAGUAAAAGUUGUUUAUCACACCCCAAACUUUCAUAUUCUUCCAUAAAACAUCAAAACACAUGCAUGUCAUCCAUGGGUAAAUUUUUAAACACAAACCCUAGCUCAAAAUAAUGGUGGAAAUAGCUAAAUCGAAGUACGAGGAUCUCAAAAACGUAAAGAACAUUAAAAAUAGGGCUAAAACAGACUUACAAUCGAGCCUGGAAGCUUGAAAAACCCUAGCUGUCUUCCUCAUGUGAAAUUCGGCCAAGGGGUUGAAGAUGAGCAAAAAUUUGCUUUUAAUUUGGCUUUUUAAUUCAUUUAAUUACCAAAUUACUAAAAUGCCCUUAACUUAAAAAUAUUCUAUUUCACUUAUUUCAUAUCCAUUUUUGUCCAACAAAUUAACCAAUGGUCUAAUUACCUUUUAAGGGCAUCCAAUUUAAAAUUUCAUAACAAUUGGACACCUCUAACAUUUAGUGCUUAACUUUUGCAGUUUUUUUACAAUUUAGUCUUUUUGACUAAAUUGAGUGCCCAAACUCGAAAUUUUUGAAUGAAAUUUUCAUAAAAUCGUUCUGUGAAAUUGUAGACUAUAAAAAUAUAAUAGAAGUGAACUUUACUACGUCGGUUUUGUGGUCCCGAAACCACUGUUCUGGCUAGACCCAAAAUCAGGCUAUUACAACUCUCCCCCUUUAGGGAUUUUCAUCCCCAAAAAUCUUUUCGGUAAAUAGGUUUGGGUGCUGUUUUUUCAUGGCUUCCUCCAGUUCCCACGUAACCUCUUCUAAUCUAUGUCUUUGCCACAACACUUUGACUAAGGCUAUACUUUUAUUUCUCAACUAUUUAACUUCCCGAGCCAAAAUCUUUAUCGGUUCCUCAUCAUAGGUCAUAUCUGGCCGAAUCUCAAUCUCUGUUAGAGAAAUCACAUGUGAAGGAUCAGAAUAAUAUCGUUGUAACAUUGAUACAUGAAACACAUUAUGAAUUCUUUCUAACUCUGCCGGUAAAGCUAACCGAUACACCACUGGUCCAAUUCUUUCAAUAACCUCAUACAGCCCAAUGAAACGCGGAUUCAACUUGUCGUGUCGGCCAAAUCUUAUAAUUUUCUUCCAUGAAGAUACUUUCAGAAACACUUUAACACCCACUUGAAACCCGAUCUCUUUUCUUUUCAAAUUCGCGUAUGACUUUUGUCGAUUUGAAGCAGCUUUCAGAGAAUCAUGGAUUGCUUUCACUUUCUCUUCGGUUUCUCUAACCAGAUCAACCCAAUGAAUCUAUUUCUCACUAAGCUCGGUCUAAUAUAAAGGAUUUUGACAUUUGCGACCAUAAAAUGCUUCGCACGGUGCCAUUUGUAUACUCGAAUGAAAACUAUUGUUGUAGGCAAACUCGACCAAAGGUAGAUAUUUCUCCCAAUUAUCUUCGAAUUCUAAAACGCAACAUCAGAGCAUGUCUUCAAGAACUUGAAUUACUCUUUUGGAUUGACCGUUGGUUUGCGGAUGAAACGCGGUACUAAAAUUCAAUUUCGUACCCAAGGCUUCUUGCAAAUUUUUCCAAAACCUCGAACUGAACCUCAGAUAUCUAUCUGAAAUAAUUGACAUAGGCAUUCCGUGAAAACUCAAAACUUUAGUAAUAUACAACUCAACCAACUCAUCAAGUGAGUAGUCGGUACGUACCGGUAUAAAGUGAGCCAAUUUUGUCAAUUUAUCAACCACAACCCAAACGACACCUUUCUUUUUCGGGGUCAGAGGUAAACCUGUCACAAAAUCCAUCGUGAUUUUUUCCCCUUUCCACUCGGAAACCAUUACUGAUUGAAGUAUCUCUUGUUGGCAAAUCAAACACUUUGAUACAAAUUCAGAAAUAUCUCUUUUCAUUCCUGACCACUAAUAACAUUUCUUCAAAUCAUUAUAUAUUUCGUGCUACCUGGAUGAACUGAUAAACAACCACUGUGUGCCUUAUAUAAAAUUUUCUGAAUCAACUCAUCAUCUUUCGGUACACAUACCUUAUCACGAAACAUCAAGCUAUCAUCUGGUCUGAUUCAAAAACCUGAGUUACAGCCUGAUUCACACUGAGCUCACUUGGCUUUCAAUUCACUAUCGAUCUUUUAAGCUUCGCAAAUUUGCUGAAGAAAUAGCAGUGUAGCCCUCAACUCGGCCAAAAUAGAACCAUCAUCAGAUAAAGCCAAACUCAUACUCAUAGCUCUCAAAGCAAACAAUGAUUUUCUGCUCAAGGCAUCAGCGACUACAUUCGCUUUUCCUGGGUGGUAAUCAAUCUCUAGCUCUGUAACACCCCUUACCCAAGUCCGAGGUCGGGACUAGGCACGAGGCAUUACCUGACUUAACCACAUGCAUACAAUCAUUUCCAAGUUAUGAAAACUUGGUCAAACAUAAAAAUUUUCUCUUUUAAUCUAAAAGUUCUUAAUAUGGGCCUAUGAGGCCCAAAUCACAUUUUGGAACUAAUACAGGAUUAAUCCCAACAUCUUUGAAAACUUUGAAAAAUGCCACUUGAAGCAAGGCACAUGCCCGUGUGGAAGGGCAACAUGGUCGUGUGCCUAUUAUGACAUGGCCGUGCUAAAGACCCGUGUGGUUUACACGGCCUAUGCACAAGGGAACACGCUCGUACCCUGAGCCUGUGUGAAUUAAAUUCCAAAUUCGAACCUACAGGGGUUUUCACACUGCCUGACACACACCCGUGUCCAUGGCUCGUGUCCCUCACACAGCUAUGACACACCCGUGUCCUUGCCUGUGUCUAAAAACCUUGACAUUCUACUUCUGAUGUCAGCAGCAAUUUAGGGGCACAUGGCCAAGGCACACACCGGUGGCCAAAGGCCAUGUCCUCCACACAGUUGUGUUUCUGCCCGCGUGUUUACUACCAUGCAUACUGACAUGCAAAUUUGAGGUGCAGGGGACACACGGUCGAACAACUCGGCCAUGGAGCUGACCGUAUGUCACACAUGGCCUAGACACAAGUCCAUGUUUCUACCCAUGUGGACUAUAUAAGGCUAUCUACCAAGCCCCUUGCCACCCUGAAACACAAUCUAUCAUACCCAAGUCUAUAACAACAUGAUUUCUCAACUAAGAAACCAUAACUAAGGCCUAUAUACAUUUCAUACAUAUACGACCAUGGCAACAAUUUUCACAUUCAUGAAAGACUUUCUUGCAUUCAUAAACAAACUUUCAAUAUUAGCCAUUAUUCAUGGCCUUAUGCAAAAUGAGUCAAGUACUAAAUUAAGCCAACACAUUUGACCCCAAAACAAUGUGACACUUUAAAAAAAUCAAAGGAACCUAUACAUGGCAUAAUCAAAAUAAAUGAACUAACUAUACCAAGUGCUUUAAAAUGAUAAUGUGACUGGCUUCUCCGACGUAAGCGAUGAUCCACGAGCUACUUUGGUGGCACUAUAAGAAAAUGAAAAGGAAAUGGGGUAAGCAUAAAGCUUAGUAAGUUGCAUGAAAAUAAACAUCAACUAAUUAUCAUAGAACAAUAUGCUUAUAACCUUUCAUAGCUUAUUCAUGAAUACCAUAAAUAGAUAUAAGCACAACUUACUCAUCACCAUCCAAUACAAUUCAUAUGGCAUAUAUUGAGCCCAUAUCUCAUACAUUUCAAAUAGGUACCUGUACCACUCACCACAUGGUGAUAACUUUUCUCAUUUCGAUAUAAAUAAGAAAUAUUUCGUUGAACCAUUUGGAAUACUACCGGAUACUCAAUAGCCCUGAACAUGGGAUAAAAUGCCGACAACAUGUCCCAGACAUGGUCUUACACUGGCUAGCACAUUAGAGUCAAUGUCGUGUCCUAGAUAGGUCUUACACUGACUUUCAUAUAUCGAGGCUGAUGCCAUGUCCCAGGCAGGUCUUACACUGACACACAACAAGCUGACGCCAUGUCCUAGAUAGGUCUUACACUAGCUUGUAUAUCUCGAAACCUAUGCAUGUCCUAGACAUGUCUUACACUAGCUAUCGUCUCAAUGCCGAUGCAUGUCCCAGACAUGUCUUACACUAGCAUUCAUGAUGUGGUCGAUGCAUGUCCUAGACAUGUCUUACACGAGCUCACAUAUCACCCAAUGUCAUGGUAUGAAUAUCCAAGUCUAUUCCAAAUUUUCAACCGAAAUUCUUUACUACAUUAAUUUCUCAACAUGAAUUCUCAUAUUCACAUUCAUAACAAUUUAUGCAAUAUUAAUUCAAUCAUACAUCAUAACAAUAUGGUUGCAUUAUUGACAUACAACUUACAUCGAUAUACAAAACGUGAGCAACUAUUUUGACUUAGUCCGUGAGCUUGGCUUUUCCCCGAUCUAGGCUCGGAUUUUGUAAUUCUUGAUCUAAAAUGGAAAAAUUUGUUCAUUUAAUCAGCAUAUCAAUUUAGACACUUACAAAUUUAUAUUUUGGGUAAAAUGACCAUUUUUCCCCUAGGCCCAAAAAUCGAUUUUUAUCAAAUUUCCUUGUUAACCAAGCCUAGUCGACCAUUUAUUAACUUUUUCCAGCCCCAAAUUCCCACUAUUUCACACAAUUACAACCUAUUUAAUAACUUUUACAAAAUGGUCCCUUUCGAUGUUUUCCAUGAAACUCAUUUUACAAAAGUUGUUUAUUCCACAACCAUAACUCAUAUUCUUCCAUAAAAUUUCAUGUAACAUCACAUAUGCUUUCAUGGGAAAACCCUAGACUCUUAACCAUUUUGCAAAAUAGUCCCCUCAAUAGCUAGAUUAAGCUUUAGGGGUUCCAAAAAAAAUCAUCAAAAAUAACCAUCGAAAUCACUUACUUAUGAGAAAAAUUAGUGGCUGAAAAUUUCAAGCUUCCAAGACCCCCUUCUUGUUGAAAAUUUCGGUGGUGUAGAGAAGAAGAGAAAAAAAAGAUGACAACUUUUCUUUAUUUUACUCAAAUAGCUAAUGUCAUCAAUUACCAACCCUACUACAUUUUUUUGACUUUUUACUCUCCUUAUCUCUAUGGCCGACUACCUCUCUAAAGAGGGUCUAUUUUCCCUUUAAAGAUCUCCACAAUAUGAUUCAUAUUCAAUUUACCCCUUUAGCUAACAAAAUAGGACUUUUGCACUUUAUGCGGUUUAGUCCUUUUCGAAAUUAGGCUUACAAACGUUAAAAUUAAUUCACCAAAAUUUUCAUGCACUAAUAUAAUAAUGUUAUAACACCAAAAUAAUAAUAAAAUGAUUUCUCUAACUUCAAAUUUAUGGUCUCAAAACCACUGUUUCGACUAGGCCAAAAAUCAUAUUGUUACAAUUCUCCUCCCUUAGGGAUUUUCGUCCCCGAAAAUCUUACCAGUGAAUAGAUUCAAGUAUUGGUCUCUCAUGGUCUCCUCAGGUUCCCAUGUGGAUUCUUCGACUCCAUGUCUCUAUCACAAAACUUUCACGAGUGUUAUACUUUUAUUCCUCAACUAUUUAACCUCUCUUGCCAAAAUCUUAACCUACUAUUCGCCAUAAGUCAUAUCCAGCUGAAUCUCAACCUCAGUUGGCACAAUCACAUGCGAAGGAUCUGAUCUAUAUCUACGUAACAUGGACACAUGAAACACGUCAUGAAUCUUUUCCAACUCUGAGGGCAAAGCCAACCGAUAGGCAAUAAGCCCUACUCUCUAGGUAAUCUCAUAAGGUCCUAUGAAACGAGGACUCAACUUGCCCUUUCUACUGAAUCUGAGGAGUUUCCUCCAUGAGGACUCAGUUUGCGGGUGAAAAGUGGUGCUAAAAUUUAAUUUCAUCCCUCACCUUCUUGUAUCUUCUUCCAGAACCACAAGGUAAAUCUAGGAUCUCUAUCUGAAAUAAUUGACAGGGGCACUCCGUGAAGUCUCACGAUCUCAGAAACAUAUAGAUCAGCCAAUUUCUUAAAGGAGUAGUCGGUACGCACCGAUAUAAAAUGUGCUGACUUUGUAAACUUAUCAAAAACCACCUAAACUGCAUCCUUUUUCCUUGGCAUCAAAGGCAAUCCCGAUACAAAAUCCAUGGUAACAUGGUCCCAUUUCCACUCAAGAACCAUUACGGGUUGAAGCAAACCCGAAGGUACUUAGUGUUUAGCCUUCACUUGCUGAUAAACUAGACACUUAGAAACAAACUCAGAAAUGUCUCUUUUCAUCCCCGACCACCAGUACAUUUUCUUCAAGUCAUUAUACAUUUUCACACUACCCGGAUGGAUAGGCAAGCAACCAUUAUGUGCCUCUCAUAAAAUCCUCUGUAUAAACUCAUUAUCCUUGGGCACACAAAUUCUAUCUCGGAACAUCAUACAACCAUCGGUACCAAUACGAAAUUCUGAUUUAUUUUCCGUCUCACAUUGAGCCAUCUUAGCUUGCAAAUCCUUAUUACCUUUCUAAGCUUUACAAAUAUCUUGAAGGAACAUCGGCCUAGCUCUCAUCUCAGGUAGAAUUGAAUGAUAAUCAAUCACAGUAAAUUGAGUAUUCAUAGCAUUCAAGGCAAACAAUGAUUUCCUACUCAACGCAUAAGCGACUACAUUCGCCUUUUCGGGGUAGUAGUCAAUCACCAACUCGUAAUCCUUUAUCAACUCCAACCAUCUUCGUUGCUAUAAAUUCAGCUCCUUUUGAGUCACCAAAUACUUCAGACUCUUAUGGUCAGUAAAUACCUGGCAUCUCUUGCCAUACAAAUGGUGUCUCCAAAUUUUCAACGCAAACAGGAUGGCAGCCAACUCUAAAUCGUGCAUCGGGUAGUUUUUCUCGUGUGGCUUUAAUUGCCUCGAGGCAUAGGCUAUGACCUUGCCUUCUUGCACGAGCACACAUCCCAAUCCAUUUAAGGAGGCGUCGCUGUUCACCACGAAUUCUUUUCCCUGUUCCAGUUGCACUAAAACUGGAGUUUCGGUUAACAAGGUCUUUAGUUUCUCGAAACUCUGUUGGCACUUUUUCUAUCCAUUCGAACAUGACAUCUUUUUGUAACAACCUUGUCAUCAGAGUAGCUAUCAUUAAGAAUCCAUUUACAAAUCUUCUGUUGUACCUAGCCAAACCCAGAAAACUUCUAAUCUCUGACACAUUCCUUGGCAGUUUCCACUCUAUAAUGGCCAAUAUCUUACUAGGGUCAACUCUAAUCCCAUCACCCGACACAAUGUGUCCUAAGAAUCCUACCCCUCGGAGCCAAAACUCACUUUUGUUAAACUUAGCAUACAACUGCUUCUCUCUCAAAGUUUACAAAACCAUUCUCAAAUGUUUCGCGUGUUCACACACAUCUCAAGAAUAAAUCAAUAUAUCAUCGAUAAAGACCACCACGAACUUAUCCAAAUAUGGUAAAAAAUUACGGUUCAUCAAAUCCAUAAAUACCGUAGGGGCAUUUGUUAAACUGAAGGGCAUGAAAAGGAACUCGUAAUGCCCAUAGCUCGUCCUAAACGUGAUUUUCGGUACAUCUUGCUCCUUUACUCUGAGUUAGUAAUAACCGGACCUCAAGUUUAUAUUGGAAAACAUGGUGGAUCCUUUCAAUUGGUCAAAUAGAUCGUCGAUCCUUGGCAAGAGAUACUUGUUCUUCACUGUCACCGUGUUGAGCUAUCUAUAGUCUAUACAUAACCUUAUCGACCUGUCUUUCCCUUUUCACAAAGAACACUGGAGCACCCCACGGAGAAUAGCUCGGUCUCACAAAACCCUUAUCUGUUAGUUCUUGUAGCUGUACUUUCAACUCCUUUAAUUUCAUCAGAUCCAUCUUAUACGGUGAAACCAAGAUAGGUGCUAUACCAGAACCUAACUCUAUUCCAAAUUCAACUUCUCUCACUAGGGGCAGUCCCGACAAUUCCUCCGAAAAUACGUCUGUGAACUCACAAAUUACUGGUACUGACUCGAUCUUCAAUUCAGAUACUUGAGUAUUCAAUACAAAAGCAAGAUAAGCUUUAUAUCCUUUUCUCAAAUAUCUUAUUUCCGACAUGGAUGAUAUCAACAUAGGCAAGUUAUCCAUUCUACCCGAUUCAACCCGAAGAACAUCCCCGCUUUCACACUUCAACUCAAUAACUUUUCUCCCAUAGUCCACUACAACACUAUGAGAAGUCAACCAAUCCAUCCCAAGGAUUACAUCAAAUUCAUUAAACGACAAUAACGUCAAGUUAGCUAGAAAAUAAUGACCUCUAAUUGUCAAAAGACAUGUUCAUACAGGGUAUCAAUUCUCUAAAAAUAUAAGAGUGGCUAGACCCCGAGUCAAUUAAAGUAACAACAAAUAUAUCAUGGAUAGAAAACGUACCCGUAAUCACAUCGGGAGGCUCUGCCUCUUCACGGGCACGUAUAACAUAAGUCUUUGCAGGUGCCCUGCCCUCGGACCUCACAGCAGUAUCUCUAGGUGCACCUCUAUUGCUAGCCCCACUUCUAGGGUUCUUAUGUGGUUUGCCCCUUGAAGGAGCGUUACCCGAUCUCAUGCUUUGAUCCUUAUCUUUGUCAACAAUUUUGGGGCAACUACAGAUAAAAUGGUCUAACGACCCACAUUUAAAACAACCCCUUUUAGUACCUCGGCACUCGUUGAAAUGACGUCUACCACACUGUGAACAUUCUGGUCUAUUAGGGCGAGCACUACCAACACUCGCGAUAGAUGUAGUUUGGGCUUUUGUCACCGCAUACUGCUUAUUCUUGCUCUUGCUCGAGAAUCCCAUUGACAUGUUUGAUCGAGUAGGAAACUCUUUCGAUCUCUUGUAUGAAGUUUGAUGUGAUUUUCUUAUCUUUCUUUUCUUUGAGUCAUAAGACUUGAUGUCAGCUUUUCUCUUUUCUUUGGCUAACUCUUCAGCCUUGCAAGCUCUUUCAAUGAGCACCAAAAAUUCCCUUAGCUCUAUGAUGCCAACUAAUAAGCAGAUGUCUUCAUUCGGACCAUCUUCAAAUCUCUUACACAUGAUGGCUUCUGUAGAUACGCACUUCUGCGCAUAUUUUUCGAGCCUCACAAACUCGCGCUCAUAUUCUGUCACUGUCAUGCGGCCUUUUUUCAAUUCGAGGAACUCUUUCCUCUUUUGAUUGAUGAACCUCUGACUAAUGUACUUCUUUCAGAAUUCUUCCUAGAAGAAUCCCCAAGUUACUCUCUCUCUCAGUACGACUGACAUGAGAGUGUUCCACCACUAGUAGGCCGAAUCUUGUAGGAGUGACACUACACACUUCAUGCAUUCCUCGGGUGUGCAUAAUAGCUCACCAAAUACCCUAAUGGUAUUUUCCAACCAAAGCUCUGCUCUCUCCGGGUCAUCAUUAAUAUUUGCCUGAAAUUCCUCGGCCCUGUGCUUUCUAAUUCUAUCUACUAGAGGUUUCUCUCUUCUAACCAUUUCUGCUCCUUAAGGAGUUAUAUGAAAGGGUUGAGGAAUUGGGGGAGGUGGGGGAGGUGGAGUAUUUGGAUUCGCACGAAUAAACUCCAAAUAUCAUGCAUCCAUCAUGUUGAGGUAAACUUCUCUAGCCCCUCCGCCUUGACUCACUGUCAUGGGCCCACUAACGACUGGCACGGUCCCUUUGGUGGGAGACGGCGCAUUGCUUUCCACGUCAUCUAACGUAGCCACGUCAUGUUCCAUUUACUGUAUAUAAAAACACAAUUUAUCUCAUUAGGAGUCAUCACACUAUCAAUAUACAAUUAUAUCAUAUAUAGCUAGACUCGUACUCACGCUAGGUUAGUCCUAGAAUUGACUAAACCAUAGCUCUGAUACCACUAAAUGUAACACCUCUUACCCAAGUUCGAGGCCGAGACUAGACACGAGGCAUUACCUGACUUAACAUCAUACAUACAAUCAUUUUCGAGUUAUGAAAACUAGGUCAAACUUAAAACUUUUCUCUUUUAAUCUAAAAGUUCUUUAUAUGGGCCUAUGAGGCCCAAAUCACAUUUUGGAAAUAACACGAGAUUAAUCCCAACAUCUUUGAAAACAUUGAAAAAUGCCACUUGAAGCAGGGCACACACCCGUAUGGAAGGGAAACACACUCGUGUGGCCAUUUUGACAUGGUCGUGCUAAAGGCCCGUAUGGUUCACACGACCUAAGCACAAGGUGACACGCUCGUGCCCCGAGUCCGUGUGAAUUAAAUUCCAAAUUCAAACCUAUAAGGGUUUUUACACAGCCUGAUGCACGUCCGUGUCCAUGGCCCGUGUCCCUCACAUGGCCAUGACACGCCUGUGUCCUAGCUCGUGUCUAAAAACCUUGACAUUUUGUUUCUGAUGUCAGCAACAAUUUAGGGGCACACGGCCAAGGCACACGCCCGUGGCCAUAGGUCGUGUCCUCCACACGGCUGAGACACACGACCUUGUCUAUGCUCAUGUGUUUACUAACAUGUAUAUUGACUUGCAAAUUCAAGGUGAAGGGGGCACACGGUCGAACAACAAGCCUAUGGGGCUGACCGUGUGUCACAUGCGGCAUAGACACACCCCCGUGUGUCUACCCGUAUGGAUGAUAUAAGGCUAUCUACCAACCCCCUUUCCACCUUGAAACACAAUCUAUCAUACCCAAGUCUAUCACAACAUGAUUUCUCAACCAAGCAACCAUAACUAAGGCCUAUAUACAUUUCAUACAUAUAAGACUAUGCCAACAAUUUUCACAUUCAUGAAAGAAUUUCUUGCAUUCAUAAAACAACUUUCAAUAUUAGCCAUUAUUCAUGGCCUUAUACAAAAUGAGUCAAGUACUAAAUUAAGCCAACACAUUUGGCCCCAGAACAAUGUGAACUUUAACAAAAUCAAAGGAUCUUAUACAUGGCAUAAUCAAAGUAAAAGAACUAACUAUAUCAAGUGCAUCAAAAUGAUAGUGUGACUGGCUUCUCUGACAUAGGCGAUGAUCCACAAGCUAUUUUGGCGGCACUAUAAGAAAAUGGAAAGGAAAUGGGGUAAGUAUAAAGUUUAGUAAGUUCAUGAAAAUAAACAUCAACUAAUUAUCAUAGAACAAUAUGCUCAUAACCUUUCAUAGCUUGUUCGUGAAUACCAUAAAUAGAUAUAAGCACAACUUACUCAUCACCAUCCAAUACAAUUCAUAUGGCAUAUAUUGAGCCCACAUCUCAUACGUUUUGAAAUAGGUACCUGUACCACUCACUACAUGGUCAUAACUUUUCUCAUUUUGAUAUAAAUCAUAAAUCUUUCGUUGAACCAUUUGGAAUACUACCGGAUACUCAAUAGCCCCAAACAUGGGAUAAAAUACCGACACCAUGUCCCAGACAUGGCCUUAAACUGGCUAGCACAUUAAAGUCGAUGCCGUGUCCCAGAUAGGUCUUACACUGGUUUCAUAUAUCGAGGUCGAUGCCAUGUCCCAGACAGGUCUUACACUGGCUCUCAUCUAUCGGUGUUGAUGCCACGUCCCAGACAGGUCUUACACUUACACACAACAAGCUGACGCCAUACAGGUCUUACACUAGCUUGUAUAUCCCGAGGCUGAUGCAUGUGUCGGACAUGUCUUACACUAGCUCUCGUCUCAAUGUCGAUGCAUGUCCCAAACAUGUCUUACACUGGCACUCAUGAUGUGGCUGAUGCAUAUCCUAAACAUGCCUUACACUGGCACAUAUACCACCCAAUGUCGUGGUAUGAAUAUCCAAGUCUACUCCAAAUGUUCAAUCGUAAAUCUUUACUGCAUUAAUUUCUCAACAUGCAUUCUCAUAUUCAUAAUCAUAACAAUUUAUGCAAUAUUAAUUCAAUCAUACAUCAUAACAAUAUUGUUGCAUUAUUGACAUACAACUUACCUCGGUAUAUAAAACGUGAGCAACUAUUUCGACUUAGUUUGUUAGCUUGGCUUUUCCCCAGUCUAGGCCCAAAUUUUAUAAUUCUUGAUCUAAAUUGGAAAAAUUCAUUCAUUUAAUCAGCAUAUCAAUCUAGACACUUACAAAUUUAUAUUUUGGGUAAAAUAACCAUUUUUCCCCUAGGCCCAAAAAUUGAUUUUUAUCAAAUUUCCUUAUUAACCAAGCCUAGCCGACCAUUUGUUACUCUUAUGCCAGCCCCAAAUUCCCACUGUUUCACACAAUUACAACCUAUUUCAUAACUUUUACAAAAUGGUCCCUUUAGGUGUUUUCCAUGAAACUUACUUUACAAAAGUUGUUUAUUUCACAACCAUAACUCAUAUUCUUCCAAAAAAUUUCAGGUAACAUCACAUAUGCUUUCAUGGAAAAACCCUAGACUCUCAACCAUUUUGCAAAAUAGUCCCCUCAAUAGCUAGACUAUGCUUUAGGGGUUCCAAAAACACAAAACAUAUCAAAGAUAACCAUCUAAAUCACCUGCUUAUGAGAGAACUUAGUGGCUGAAAAUUUCAAGCUUCCAAGGGCCCCUUCUUACUGAAAAUUUUGGUGUGUAGAGAAGAAGAGAAGAAAAAAGAUGACAAGUUUUCUUUAUUUUACUCAAAUAGCUAAUGUCAUCAAUUACCAACCCUACUACAUUUUUUUUAUUUUUGACUCUCUUUAUCUCUAUGGCCAGCCACCUCUGUUAAAAAGGUCUAUUUGACCUUUAAAGACCUCCACAAUAUGAUUCAUAUUCAAUUUACCGGUUUAGCUAACAAAAUAGGACUUUUGCACUUUAUGCGGUUUAGUCCUUUCUCGAAAUUAAACCUACAAAUGCUAAAAUUAAUUCACCAAAAUUUUUAUGCACUAAUAUAAUAAUUUUAUACCAUCAAAAUAAUAAUAAAAUGAUUUGUGGUCUCAAAACCACUGUUUCGACUAGGCCCAAAAUCAUACUGUUACAAGCUCAUAAUCUUUUAUUAAUUCGAGCCCAUCUCCGUUGUCGCAAAUUCAAAUCCUUUUGAUUCAUCAGAUGCUUCAAAAUCUUGUGAUCGGUAAAGAUUCGACAUUUCUAACCAUGCAAAUAAUGAUGCCAAAUUUUCAAAGCAAAGGCGAUGGCAGCUAAUUCCAAGUCUUGCGUUGGAUAAAUCUUCUCGUGCGGUUUCAACUAUCUUGAGCAUAAGCUACUACUGUGCCCUCUUGCAUCAAAACACAACCAAGACCAUUCAAUGAUGCAUCACUAUAAAUCACGAACUCUUUCCCCAUCUAAAGUUGCACCAAAACCGAUGCCUCAGUCAAUAAUGCUUUCAAUUUCUCAAAACUUUACUGACAAUUAUCAGUCUAUUCAAACUUAACAUUCUUUUGCAGCAACUUAGUCAUAGGAGAGGCAAUAAUCAAGAAUCCAUUGAAAAAUGUCUAUAAUAGCUGGCUAAGCCCAAAAAGCUUCUAACCUCAAAUACAUUCUUUAGUGGUUUCCAAUCAACAUAUAACAACCCGAUUUAGACCCUAGUCAGAAUAGUGGUUUUGGGACCACAAAUCCGAAUCAAAAAAUAUUGUAAUAUUAUUUUCUGUUCUUAUUAUAUAUGAAUUGAUAUUUGUGAAAAUUUCAUAUGAAAAUUUGAUCGUUUGUGUGCUUAAUUUGAUAAAAGGACUUAAUUGCAUAAAAUGCAAAACUGUCCUUCUAUUUGAAUAAUGGCCGAAUUAAUGUGUCUCUUUAAAUGUGAGGUCCUUAUGAUGCAAAUAGACAAUGUUUAUAAUUAAAUGACAUUGAUGGACAUUAGUUAGUGGAAUUUUAAAUGAUAAUAAUAAGGUUAUUUUGGUAAAUUAUGUAUUAAUGUUAUGUUAAAUAAAACAAAAUGAAUUUGGUUGUCAUUCUCUCACCAUAUUGCCAAAAAUACAAGAGAAAAGAAAGUUUUUUUUUUCUUUCAACUAGGGUUCGGCUAUUACUUAUCUGAAUUAAGGUAUGAUUUUUGAUCAUUUUUUUUAUUUUUACAUUUUUGUGAUCGUUGUUUAGUAAUCUUUCAAGCCCAUGCCUCAAUUUCUGAAUUUGAUUAUGACUUUAAGUUAUGUCAUUGUUGAUUUUGUGAGUUUUGUAAUGUUAGUUGAUGAAAUAUGGAAGCUUGAUGAUAGAUACAUAUGUUUUGUAUUGGGAUUUUUGAUGAAUUCGAGUAUUUCGGGCUAAAUUAUGAAAAUAAGAAAUUGAAGGACUAAAAUGUGAAAUAAAUGAAAUAUGUGGGCUUGUAUGAGCUAAAGGAAUCUUUGGCCAAGCAUAUGUCUAAAGAAAUUUUGUGUAUUUUUUGAUUUUAUGAAUUAGGGUCUAAAUUGUUAAAAUGUGAAAAUGUGAGGGCUAAUUUGUAAAAUGCCCUAAAUAUGUGUUUAUGGAUUUAUUUGAAUGAAUGUGAGAUUGAAUAAGUCAAAUUUGAAUAUGUUUAGAUCAAGAACUAAAGAAAACAGAAUUAGAUCGAGGAAAGUCGAAAGUCGUUGAAUAGUUGCUCAUUUCUGUUCAAUUCCGUACAAGGUAAGUCAAUAUACAAAUAAAUGUGUUAAAUUGAAUUUUUAUUACUUAUAUGAUAUUUGAAUUAUGGUGAAUGGACAUAUGAGCUGAAUAUAUAAAAUUCGAGAAAGUUCUGAUAACGUGACGAUGUUUGAAAAGUCCCGUACAAACCAUAGGAAUAGCUAGGAUACAUAUGUCCGAUAUGUGAUUUCGUGUAAGACAACGUUUAGGACAUUGGCGUCGAUUUGAGAUUUACAUGUAAGACAAUGUCUGGGACAUCGGCAUCGUAUUUGAUUUCAUGUAAGACCCUGUUUGGGACAGUGGCAUCAAAAUUUUAUUACGUGUAAGACCACGUCUGGGACUUUGGCAUCGUACGAGCUUUCUAAGCUAGCCGCAUAUUCUAUUUGAUUUUGAUCGGUUCAAUGGGUAUUUCGAGAAAAUUAAUUACUAUGUGAAGUUGUAUCCGAUUUAGGUACAUUUGAAAUGUAUAUUAAGAUUGAGAAUGAAGGGUAAGCAUAUAUAAAUAUGUGGACAUAUGAAAUAUGUAUGAGUUAUUUGAGAAUGAGAUGUGCAUAUGUAGUUGAAUUAUGAACAAUUGAGCUAUAUAAGAAUUAUAAAUAUGUGGUUAUAUUUUUCCAUGAACUACAUGAAUGAAAUGAUUUAGAAAUGUGUUAUAUGAUAAGUUUAUUUGUAUAUGACUUACUAAGCUUUUGAAAGCUUACUUUGCAUGUGUUUGCAUUGUGUUUUAAAUAUCGAAGCUACUGGAGGCUCGGGGAUUGUCGAAGAUCAUCACCAUAGUAUCAAACGCUAUUUUGGUACCUUUUGAAAAUGCGUAUAUUGAAGUAUGGCAUGUAUAGGCUAGAAGUAUUUUAAUAUGUUUUUGAGUUGUGAAUAUUAGCCAUGUGAUAUGGCUUGGAUUUGGUUGUGAUUAUGAAUGAGUUUUGGUAUAAUCUAUAUGAUGCAAUAUUGUUAAUAUGAUGUGUUCUUGGAUGACCAAAUGAAAUGGUUAAUUUUGGUAAGUUUCAUGAUUGAUUUGGGAAGUUAAUAUGAUGUGAAAUGCUAUGAAUUGAAAUGGAUUAAUACAAUGUAUGAAUCAUGUGCUUUUGAUAUAAAAUUUGUACUUUGAAUUGGUAUGUUUGAGUUGGAUUUUUAUAUGGGAAUGAAUGAUGAUAUCAUGGGUCAAUUUGUGCAUGAUUUAGUAUGUUUUUGGCUGCCUUUGAAUCAUGAAAUGUGCUUUGUUUCAUGCUUGUAGGGAUUGUCCAAAAUGGGUGGCAAUUUGGCUUUGUAAAUAGCCUAUUUUUGUCUACAUGGGUGGGAAUGAAUGAUGAUAUCAUGGGUCAAUUUGUACAUGAUUUAGUAUGAUUUUGGCUGCCUUUGGGUCAUGAAAUGUGCUUUGUUUCAUGCUUGUAGGGAUGGUCCAAAAUGGGUGGCAAUUUGGCUUUGCAAGUAGCCUAUUUUUGUCCACACGAGCAGAGACACGGGCGUGUGUCUCAGCCGUGUGGGACACACGAUUAUGUUACACAGCCAUGUGUCCCCUAGAAUACCCUACGAUUUAAAGUUAGUAUACCCUACAAUUUUGACACGGCCUAGACACACUGGCAUGUCUAUCUGUCGUGUGUGGCACACAGGCUGGUACAUGGGCUUGUGGUUGGCCGUGUGAUCCAAGUUAGUAACCUAUCUAAUUUUCACACGGCUUGGUACAUAGGCUUGUCUUAUAGCCGUGUGGACAAGUCAAUAUGUAUGCCCUGUUUUGCCACGGCCUAGACACACGGGCGUAUCUAAUGUCAUGUGAGGCACACGGCCUGUUCACACGCGUAUGACCUUUGUAACUUAGAAAAAUGUUUAAGUUUUGAAAAAUUUUGUAUUUGCUCGGUUUAGUCCAGACCUAUUUCUAAAGCGUGUUUAAGGUCUUGUUGACCUAAGAAAGGGACUUUAGGUUGAUGUUUGACUUUGAUGCCAUGAUAUUUGUGUAAUGAAUGCAAAAUAUCCCGAUAUGUCCGGUAAUGCCUUUUAACCCUAGUUCAGUGAUGGAUACGGGGUUAGGGGUGUUACAUUUGGUUGGUAUCAGAGCUAUGAUUUAGUCGAUAUUAGGACUAACGUAGUGUAUGUGAGUCUAGCUAUACAUGCCAUAUAUAUGAACUGUGAUAGUGUGAUAAUUACUGACAAUGAAAAUGUGUUUUUAUAUAGUAAAUGGAUCCUGAACGAGCCGUAUCUGAUGAUGUUGAAAGUAAUGCGCCUGCUCCCGCUGAGGGGACAGCACCGUCUGAUUCUAGACCCGUGAUUAGUAGCCACAAGGGAAAGGCUAAACAAGCCUUUUACCAAAUGAUGAAUGAUUGGUUUACUUAGUAUAUUAGAACCAAUCCGGCUGUGCCACAACUUUCACCACCACUAAAUUCUCCGCAAGUCCCUGUAAUGCCACUAGCUAAUCCAUUCAAUUGAAUAAACCUCCAGUUGACAAAAUUAGAAAAUAUGGGGCCGAAGAGUUCCGUGCUACUACAACGAUGAUGCUGAGAGAGUUGAAUUCUGGCUAGAGAAUACGAUACGGGUGUUCGAUGAAAUGUCAUGUACUCCCGAAGAAUGUCUUAAAUAUGCCAUUUCACUUCUGAGAGAUACGGCCUAUCAUUGAUGGAAGACAUUGAUAUCAGUGGUUCCGAGAGAACGAGUUACCUUCGAUUUCUUUCAAGCUGACUUCUGAAAGAAAUACAUCAGUCAAAGAUUCAUCAACCAGAAACGCAAAGAGUAUCUUGAGCUAAAACAAGGCUGUAUGUGUCUCGACUGAAGAAAUAAUGUGCAAGAGAUUUGAAGAUGGCUUGAAUGAAGACAUCCGUUUGUUAGUCAGAAUUCUGGAAAUACAAGAAUUUGUAAUGCUUGUUGAAAAAGCAUGUAAAGCUGAAGUGUAACACCCCUUACCCGUGUUUGACGCCGGAACAGGGUAUGAGGCAUUACCGGACUUAAUCACUAAUCAUUGUAUAAAAAUCGAUUCAUAAUUUCACUCUAAUUCAAAACUUUUUCAAACACAUUCAAGCUAUCCCUUAAAAAGAGCUUACAAGGCCCAUAUCAUGCUUUAAUACAACCACACACAUAGGCAAGCAUGCACAUUCAUAAAUUGCAUCAUUUAAUUAAUAGCAUAAUCAAGACUAUCUACAUUAAAUGACUUUAUACAAUAGAGAACUUCAAAUAACAUAGGUCAGUAUUUUCAGCCAAUCCCUAGCAACUUAAUAAUAAUUAAACGAGUCUCCAUGCAUACCAAAGACUUAAAAUACUUUAAAACCUUUAUAUAUCGAUCAAUAGUUUGAUAGUGUGAUUUAACCUCCGGCGACCUCCAACUCGAGCUAACAUCUGCGACACUAUAGGAAAAAGGAAAGGAAGGGAGUAAGAAUUAUAGCUUAGUAAGUAAGUAUGUAAAUAUUAAUAAACAAUACAUUAUCAUACUUUAAACAAAGUCACAAUAUGUUCCCGGAAUAUUACCAUCACAAACACAUAUACUUUUACUAUUACAAUCAUAAACAGGUUCGAAAUAAGCUGUCUAGCAGAGUACCAGAAACUAAAUUAUUUAUUUUUGACGAUAAAAAACUAUAAAUUACAAACUUUUAAUUUUUAUUGAAACUAGAUUCACAUAUAUUCUUACCAUAAAAUUUUCAGAAUUUUUGGUCUAGCCAAUUAGUACAGUUUAUUCAUUGAAGUUACCCCUAUUUCACUGCUCAACUGUUCUGACCACUCUUCGCUACGAACCAAUUUUAUCCUUGUACAGAAUUAAAAGGAUGUUAUUGUUUAUUUAAUUUUAAACUAGACUCAUUAAGGAUUUUAAGCAUAUAAAUUAUAUCCCAUAAUUAUUUUUUUACAAUUUUUAAUGAUUUUUCCAAGUCAGAAUAGGGGAUCACGUAGUCAUUCUGAACCAGUCUCUCAAAAACUUAAAUAUCUCAUAAUAUAGAAUUCCUUUGCUUCCUCUAUUUCUGUUAUUUGAAAAUAGACUCAUUAAGCUCUAAUUUAAUAUCUCAUUCAGUCUCUGAUUCAAUUUCUACUAUUUUUGGUAAAUUUUUAGAUUCACGUCACUGCAACUAUCCAGAACAGUUUUAUUGUCAAUUUUGAUCUUUCACACUUCAAUUGUAUUCAUCACUUUCCUAUAACAAUCUUUCCAAUUUCCAAUCACAUAUCGAGCAUAUUGCUCAUAAGUUACACAUGUAUAUACUUACACUUAUCAUCACAAAUUCAUACACAAUUUCAUUUAAUCAAUUUCCCAGUUGAACACUUCGGAAUAAUAACAGAUACGCGAUGGUAUCGCACACAGCCCACCUUUAAAAUUGAAGCUCUCUUGUAUACAUAGUGGCCUUCACUUAGCACCACUCAUGUGACCUUGCUCGAUUGUACACAUAAUUUUGGCUCUCCUGUACACAUGGUGAACACUUAGUACCACCAAUGCGACCUAGCCAGUUUAUCUCGUAGCUCUCUUGUCUACAUGGUGUCCUUCAUCUGGAACCACGCAUGCGACCUAGCUACAUAUAUCCCGUAGCUCUCUUGUCUACAUGGUGUACUUAUAGUAUCACCCAUGUGACCUAGCUACAUCAUAAUGUCUCGUAGCUCUCUUGUACACAUGAUGUGCACUCAGCACCAUACAUGUGACCUAGCUACAUACCAUAUGUAUCAUCCAAUCUUUCCGAAGGUUCAACCGGGAUUUCUCUCUCUUUCUAAUACUUGAUUCCAUACUUCCAAUAGUCAAUUAUGAUUCAAAAAUCAGCUACAAUACAUAAAAUAUGCUGAAAUACAAAAACAUAAUAAAGAUAAUGUAUUAUUUACAUACAAACUUACAUACUUUUUCAUUUCCAUGUCGAAUUAAUAUUGAACAUUUAAA
This 70498-nucleotide long non-coding RNA is filed under the name Gossypium barbadense (sea-island cotton). RNAcentral describes it as "long non-coding RNA (GBAR_LNC002447)". Lineage: Eukaryota; Viridiplantae; Streptophyta; Magnoliopsida; Malvales; Malvaceae. The record is from RNAcentral.